UUUUUUUUUUUUUUUUUUUUUUUGGUGGGCAAGCUCCUAGCCUCACAUUAAAAGCGUAAUUUUCUCAUUAUUGCGUUUUCCAAAUUGGUGUCGUUUUCAAAAAAUUAGUACAUAAUUUUUAUUCUUUUGCCACUCCUAUUCCUUGUCCUUUUUAGAAAGAUAAUAUACACCAUUCAAAUUUCUUAAUGUGGAGGGUGAACUUUGAAAACUCUGUGUAAGUAUCACCAUUAGGUCAUUAUUGUUAAAAUGUUGAGUUGCCCAAAAAUGACAAAUAUUUGGGAUGGAGGGAUUGAUUAGUAAAGUAAACAUAGGAAAUACAAAGAAAGCAAGAAAGAAGUGCAAAGAAAAUUCAUAAUGGUAGCUUUCUACACCAAUCAGAUGUAUGUGUAUACUUUUAUAUAUAUAUAUAUAUAUAUAUAUAUAUGUAUGUAUUCUUUAUUACUCGUUAGACGUUAUAUUUUUCAUUCCAUAAAGUAAGUAUACAUUAGUAUUUUGGGAGUUCACAAACAUUGUCACAUUUUUAAUAUUAUACUUCUUUACCCCACAUAAUAAAGUGACACAUGUUCCUUUAUUUUACAUUAACGAUGGCCAUGAAUCAUGUAAGAAUAGUCUGUGGAUGAUAUCUUCUAACUAAUAUUAAAUUAAAAGGCACAUCACGCCCCAAUCCAUGGUGUAAAAGAGUUUUGGAUUCAAAUCCUCUUUCUCCAUUUUUACUUUUUAAAUCUCACACGUCCCUUGGUAAUUUUUUUUUUUAAAAGUUUUAUAGGGUAAAAAGGAUUUCCAAAAGGCAAUAGAAAUUUCCAAAAUUUCAGAUUAAAGUGAAGUAGUGUGUCCUGAAUGAUUCACAAAAAAGAUUUUCAUUGCUUAAUCCUUUUCCCCUUUGGAUUUCAAUCCGCAUAACCUGCUUUAUAUGCUACCACUUAAUCAACCCGCGCUUAAUGAUUCAAAUCCAAAAUUCACGCUUCUCAGCUAAACACAGUCCACGCUUUCUCGAAACUAUCUUAACCAUUCUAAGUCCAUUCCGGGCAAGCAUGCAGAUCUUCGUCAUAUCCCAAAGCAGCAGGACCAUUGUUUUCGAGGUGGAAAUUUCCGAUACCAUCCAAGUCGUCAAGGCCAAGCUUCAGCUGAAAGAUGGAAUCCCUCCUCAGCACCAGAGCCUCGUAUUGGCCGGCAAACAACUAGAUGAAGAUCGCACACUCGAGGAUUACGACAUCUAGGAGAACUCCACAUUAAUGGCAAGGCCGAGGUACACUGACCAGCGAUGUUUUUAAACUUGGACCGGUCAGCGAACCGGAGAGGUGGCCGGUUCGCGGUUCGACCGGUCCAACCGGCCGGUUCACAGGUUCACUGUUUUGUUUUUUUUGUUUUUACUAAGCAAGUUUCAUUACUUGACAGCUAAUGUACAAUUUAAUAUAAUUAUUGAUAACUUAAGUUUCUAAAAUGCAUUCACCAACAUAACUAAAUUUAAGUUGAAAUAAUAAUAAAUUUCCUAAAAGUUAUACAUAAAACAUGGAAUGAUAAACAUAAUUAAAAUAUCAUAAUUCACCACAAGUUUUCAUAAAUUCAUUAUAAACAUAAAUAGAUACAAUCCAAAUGUUCACCAAUUAUCACAAAUAAAAACACAAAAAAUAACUAAAAUAAAUAUUGAAAUUCUUUUACAAUCCUUAAAAAAAUCCAUAAAAGAGUUCAACUCAAGACAAACCAUUUGAAUGACAAACUUCCAUUAGUGGCAUGACAAGUAGCAACAACACCACCUUCACAAUUUCAUCAACUUAACUUGGAAAAGUUAAAAUUUUAUUAUAAAAAUAUAAAUUAAUUGCUCAAACUAAAAAAAACUAAAAAAAUUUGAAAAACAAAUAUACAGCUAAACACAUUAAAAAUUAAUUAUUACUAAACAUCACUAAUUAACAUGUUAUAUUAAAUUCAAUGAUCCUAUACAAUUAAUUAUUUUAAAUUCAAUGAUCAAUAGCUUCGAUUAUAUGCCAACUAACAUAUUUUUUACCAGCCUAAUGUUAUUAUUUGUAAGUCCUACCCAAUUCCUACAUGGAGGUGUGCUACUUUUGCAAAAAUUUCAUCCUUAAUUACUCAAAUAAAAAUAAAACAAAAAUUAGGGAAACAGAUGAAAAUUGGGGGGGAGGGAAAAAGAAGAAAAUGCAAAAAAAAAAUCAACUAAAGAUAAUAAUAUAGAAAAAAAAGCUUGAAAAGAGAAAAAUUAAACUUACCAAAAUGAUGGAAAACAAGAAAAGUUGAAAUUUCCAACUUGUUUACAAUCUGCCAAAGAUGAUAACCUGAUAAUAAUGGUGAAGACUUGAGAAAAUCUUGUUGUGGAUAUUUGGGUUUAAAAUGGUUAUGAAGAAAAAAUUGAAAAAAAAAAUCAAGAGAAGAACUAGAGAGCGCCGCCUAAUGAAGCCGAGAAAGUAAUUGAUGGAAAGAAAAUUUAGAAAAGUUCAUCUGCAUUGAUGCACUUUGCUUUUUCUGUACCUGAUAUUUUAAUAUAUUUUUAGUCAAAUAGAAUUGUCAACAAGCUUAACUAUGGUCUAGUGGUAAAAUUGUCAUAUGUAAAUGUGGAAGCUUAGGUUCGAAUCGGAGCUACACCAUUUUUGAUAUUUUGUUGAGGAAUUAAAAAAACCGUCGGUUUACGGUUCGAACGGUUCAUCCGGUUUUCAAUGGUUUUCAUGAACUUCCGGUUUUAGCACUAGAUCGGACCGUUGACAUGUCCGGUUCGUGGUCCAACCGGUUGAACCGACCGGUCCGGUCCGACUCUGAAAACAUUGCUGACAAGAGAAAAUUCCAUCAUAUGCAGCCAUAUGAUCCUCCCAAUAAACCUCACAAAAGCACCCUCCCCAAAUCUUUGUCGGAAAACAGUCCACAAAAGUACCCGCCCGUGUUUAUCAUAGUAAUCGUUUAUUUUUUUGGUUAAUUGUACUGCUUCUUGAUGCUAACUAUGACAGGUUUCUUGACGUUAUUAGAUGCCAUUUAUGUUUUUUUAGCAAUGAUCAGUUAAUUGGAAAUCUUUUAUCUUGUAUUAUUGACUGGAAUUUGAAUUCUUGCGGUUAGAUUUUAUGUUCUUUACUGAUUAGCGAUACAGAAUUAAGCUAAUACAGAAUUAAUUCAUCUUGUAUUUAUGAUUGGAAUUUCUUCAUAUCAAUAAAUAUAGUAUCCCUAGACAUUGCACCUUUUACAUGGCUUAAUUAUAUAAAUAGUUAUUGACGAAAAAAAAUUAUAUAAACUGUUUGGCUAAGUUGUGCACCACUCACUCAUUAAUAGGGGUUUCAAGUAUUAGUUUUUUAGAAAAGUACAAAUAACAUGGAAAAAUGUAUAAAAACAAGGACAUAAUAAUUGUGAUUGUGUGUAUCAACAUAACAAAUUAGGGAAAAAUGCACUUUUCAUCCUUAAAGUUUGGGUUGUUAACCAAUUUUAUUCUCAAAAUUUCACCCAAAACGCAUUUUAUCCUCAAAGUUAGUAAUUUUGGCCAAUUAAGGACAAUUGACGGGAAUUGGCAAAUUUAUCGUUAGAACCAACUGUAAACCCAACAAAAAAUGGGUAAAAUCGAAUGGAACCGUAUUUCACAGCAGACGCUAAAAUACAAAGGGAUCAGUCACCAAGGUCAUGGCCCAGAAAAGUCAGUAGCUCUCUUUCCUAUGUUAUUGAUCCCUCCUUCUUGGACUUGGGAUCGCGAAAAAUCUAGAUGGGGACAAAGGAAACCCAUAACCAGGAGAAGGAGGCACUUAAGGCCCCGGGCCUAGUAUCCCUGAUUGAGCCAUUGGAGAAAGUGAGAAAUUUGGAGUCAUUGGAGAAGGGUGCUGAAAACUAGGAGAAAGCAAUGGAUACGAUGAUCUAGGAGAAAACAAAUUUAAGAAACCAGUUGGUGAUGGCAAAAGAAACUGAGAAGUUGGGGAAGGCAAAAGUGGAUGUGGACCAUUUAUUCGAGGUGAAGGAAGAGAGGGUGGAGGACCAUUCAUCCUAGGAGAUGGAAAAGGAGGAGGACCGUUCAUCCUAGGAGAUGUAAGUGGUGGAGGCAUGUUCAUUCUUGGAGAUGGGAUAGGCGGCAUAUGCGGAUUAGGAAGUAAACCAGAAGCAGAUGGCUGAGCUUGAUUUGGACCAAGACCCUGAGGUAUUAACUAGGGAAAAGGUUGCCUUGGCCCUGAAUCUAUGAUUGAAUUUUGAAGGUAUCGCAUGUAAGCUGAUAUAGGAGACUCAGCUGUGUUUGGCCAAGCAUCACCAGGAAUGAAGGGUGGCAACAUAGUUGGUGAUGGUUGGCCAUACUGGGGGAGAGGAGGUCUUGUGAAGUUGUUGUUGUAUGGAACACUAGCUGGAGGCUGUGCGGGAGCUGGCACUGGUACAGGAGGUUGAAUCGUCAUAGGAGGUCGAUUUAUUGGUGUCAAGGGCGGUGGCUGAAUCUUCUGCAACCGCAUACUUGCAGGUUUGGGGGGAUUUUGGGGAGGCCUAGGAGCAGGUGGUUCUUGAUUAUUCGAAGGUGAACCAGCAAACUGUUGCACUAUGUUUCGAAAAUCAUUUUUAUUAAUAUUAUACACCUAAGGCUGAGGUUGCUGCUUGGCAGUUUUAGUAAAAUUGGGUCGGUACAUUGGACUCUUCUUUAUGUUCUUCCCUAUCUUAUUCACACCCAAAUGAUCCGUAUGCCGAUUCAUCUGCCUAUUGGUACUAUCCAUAUCAACACCUUGAACCGACCAACAAAUUCAGAAUGGUGCAAGCUCAAAUUUCUUUUCUUCUUCAGCUAGUGAAUCCAACAAUUACCAUCUUAAGCAUCAAAACACCAACUGAUGAUCAAACCAAAGUAAAACUCAAAACUUUUGUGUAUUGAUUUUGAUGAUGUUUUUGCAGGGAUGAAGAUUAAGACAGACACACCUCUUGCCAAGAAGGCACGAGAAAGAGUUAUGGAAUUUUGCUAAUGAAUCAUCCGUUGGAUUGCCCAAUUUGUGAUCAAGGUGGGGAAUGUGGCUCCAUUCGGUUUUACCCAUUUUUUUGUUGGGUUUAUAGUUGGUUCUAACGAUAAAUUUGCCAAUUCUCGUCAAUUGUCCUUAAUUGGCCGAAAUUACGUAAUUUUGAGGAUGAAAUGUGUUUUGGAUAAAACUUUGAGGAUGAAAUUGGUCAACAGCCCAAACUUUAAGGAUGAAAAGUGCAUUUUUCCCUAACAAAUUAAGUAAUUUGUGUGUGCUAACUAGUGCUCAUUGGAUACUGAUCACUAGAAAAACCCUUACAUAAAUCAAGAAAGAUUAAUCUUACCUAAUUGCAAAACUAAGGUUACUCAUUGACAAAGUAUAAAUUGUUUUUCUUUUUGGUAAUUUUGUAAAUUGAUUUUUUAUUUGUUCAUGAAAUAAUGUCUUGACUAUAAGGAAAAAACAAAAUAUUGGGCUUAACUUAAUUUUAAUAAUAAUUAACAUCAAACCGUGAUUUUUUACAUUGAGGCCAUAAAAUCAUAGUAAUUCAUCAGACUUUCAGAGUUUUACAACACACUUUGUUGGGGAAAAAAUGGGAAAAAGAAUACACAACUGCAAACAUAAUCUAUUGUAUCUCCAGUUUAUCACGAGAGUCGGUGUCUCCUAGGCUACCGAUACCAAAAGGAUAAGCAUUAAGUAAUGAGGAUAAUGCAGAGUAUGCCAAUCUGGAAGAUGCUUCGUACACUAUUUCACUGGGAUGGAAAUCAUCCCAGAAAUAAUAUUCGUUUCUGUUGCUGCAGGGAAUUUGUCCAGGAAUGCAUUGUCCAGCACUAACUGUUGUAGACACAUUGCAGCAUGGUGCUUUAUCAAUUGUAAUUUCUGAGAUAGAUUUAGUGUAAGAAUGAAUUGAAAAAAGAAAAAAAAAACACAGUAUCAAAGAAAAAUGUGGAAGUAGACGUGUAGAAGAUAGAUGUACAAUGACGUUUUUUCUUUUUUUUCUUUUCUUUUCGUUUUUGUUUCUACAUAAACUGAAAUUUCCUAAGUGAACCUUAUGUAUCCAACUACACAUUCAAAUGGAAGCAUCAAUUUUUAGAAAAUGGCAAGUGGCAAGAUAGGAUAAUUUUGCUUUUAUAUUUACAUGUGAAAUGCUGAGUAGCUGAAGUGUUUCUAAGUCAAUCGUUCCAUUAAAACGUUAAUUUGCUUCAUUGGACUUCGAGUUUAUGCAAGUAUAUAUACUGAUGAAUUAUCAUUCCAUAUAGUAGCAACCAAUAUUUCGUGUUCAAAUGGUUAAAAGAUAAGAAAUCUAAUUGUUCAAAAUGUAUUAGACGGUUUAGAUCAUUUUAUUAGGAAAGGUAUGAAAAAUAAGAACCAAAAAAAAAAAAUUUUCAUAGAAGGGUACAACUUUUGGUAAAUAAGGGUAUGGGUAUUGUUCAUUGAUUAAAACAGUUAAUAAAUUUAUUGUUAAAUAACUAGAUCUUGUUUGAUAACCCAAUUCAGCACUUAAAUUUAAUAAUUUCAUAUUUUAACAUAUUCAGACUCGUUUGAUAAUAAAAAAUAAAACAUCUAAAUUAAUUAAGUGACACUGAAUUUUCUAAGCAAAAUUUGUUCGAAAAAUAAGUGAUAAGUUAUUCAUUUAUUACUUAAUAUGGUAUAUACUCAAAUAUAUUAGAUUUAGUGCUUAAUAAUUCAGUAACUUAAUGAAUUCAAAUUUUAGAUUUCAUAUUUGAAUUUUCAUAUUUCAGUUUUAUCAAACGCAUUCUAAAUCACCUUCAUAGAAUUGUGCACUCUAGUGUAUAGGGCAUCUACACAAAUAUUAUAUUAAGAGAUAAACUCUUUGGUUUAUGAGCCUCUUCAUUUUGAUAUUGCAUUAUCAUGAUUUUCAUAAACUUCAAAAGAAAACAACCCAAGAAUGUUAAAUGUGGUAACUAACCAAAUAAUUGCCAACUUGCAUCUUUUUCAAAGAAUGAAAUUAUUAUCCACACAUUUUACCUCAGUCUUUAUAACAAAAAUGUUGUAAAAUUAAGUUCAAUAAGCUUAUUUUGUAACCAAAACCUUGAUAUUCUUUUCGAUUGCAUGAACAUCAGGUUUGCCUUCAUCACCGUCCUAUAUUAUCUGUGCAGGUUGAGUCUAAAUAAACACUUUCGGUUUCCAUAAAGUAGAAGUUCCAACGUACCUGCAGGCAUAGUGCUCAAAGUGAUUGCUGUCACAUUUACAUAGAUAAAAUGUGCACUGCUUAACUCGGCAUUCAGUUCAUCGACCAGUGGCUUGAGCUCCUCAUUGAAUAACUGAACUUCACUAUUUAAAGAAUCCACACAUGUACCAUCUAUAGAUAACAAACCAGGCACACAACCAAGGAAACCUAGCCCAAAAAUAGCUAUUUUUCUUGCCCCCAAUCUGUACAAUUUCUAGCACCAAAAGGGAUACGAGUUAGGUUUUUUCUUUUUCUUUUUUAAAUGUAUAUUCAACGUGAACAUCAAAAUUUAAUGAUGGAAAAUGGAAAUUUGUUAAAAGAAAAUAAUUAUACGAACCCGUAGUUGCUGAGAAUAUUCUUUAAUCAACAUUCUAGCAAAUUGUCUUGGAGUACAUAGGCGGCUUGCAGCAUAACAUUCUGGCAGUAAGUAGCUGUCGAUGUAAUCGUUACUUCCAAUUGCAAAAGUAUACAAACAUUUGGCUAGGUAUUCUUUUGUUGCAGCUUCGUUCCCAAUUAAUCUCACAAGCUGCGAAGUUACUCUUCUAUGAUUUUGCAAUUGUUGGUUGAGGCUGACGAUAUCGCCCUAUUAGUAAAAAAGAAAGCAAUGUAGUGUGAGUUUUGGCUAGCUUGCCUCCCUCAAGAGGUCAGUAACAACAAAAAGAAAAGCAAAGCACCAAUACUGGAUUCUUGAGAUUUUGAAAUAAAUUUUUUAGCAUAAUUAGGUAAUAAUGAAUGUAUCCCAUUAGCUUUCUUUUAUUAAGCAAUUUUAAAGAAGUGGAAAUGUGUAUCAGACAAGAAAUUGGACAAUAAAAGAAAAAAUAGGUCAAGUUAUGAGUCAUGACUAUUUACAUUUCUAAUGAGGCCAUUGUGGCAUUGUGACCAGAAUCCAUGGUCCGCAGCUGAUAUGUUCACUACAUUAUUUGUUCCUUUUUUCAUUUUUCAUUUUCCCCCCAAGUAUUCUUACCACUUCAGUGUGCCAUAUGGUUCAUUUGUGUUAAAAUUGAAGACUAAUCCGCCAAUUGAAAAAUGGAGUUUGAUUUUUGUGCACUAACUUGGAAAAAGUUGAUAUAUUAAAUAAUAAUAGGUGGUCAAUAAAACUAUAGUAGUGACCAAACAAUACUGUUAAUGAUGCCAUGAAAAAAAUUGGCAAAAAGGGACUAGCAAUUAACCGGUAUUCUCAGAAUUUCAUUAGAUCUUUUGUUGAAAUCGAUGCAAUUGACAGGUGAAAUUUGUAUUUAAUAAACAUUUGGCUGUUUAAAGCAUUAAACUAUUUUGCAGAAACUAUAAGUUUCAUUUUGUUAUUGGGGUAAACCUCAAGUGAGAUAAAUGUAACCAACUCAAUUUACAAAAUGGUAAUUUGGGACUUUUAGAUAUAUAUAUAUAUAUAUAUUUUUGGUUGGUGCAUGCAACACAUGAUAGCGACUAAUGUCUGGGAGUAUUUGAUAUACGUUUUGUCAUUCAAGGGGUUUAACUAUAAUUUUGCAAAACAACAAGGUAGUUUUGUAAUUUGGUCAAAACCACAGGGAUGAUAAAUGUAAUUAACCCAAAAAACUAUAUAAAUAAUAUAAAUAAAAAUUUUCCAUUUGAAAUUCUCCUAGAUAAGACAAUUGUAUGAAUACUUAGAUCUAAAGUCAAAACGGGAAGAGGAAGGGAUGGAUUGGACAAUAUGGAAGGAAAGAAUAUAAGUGAGAGAUUUCAGUUCGAGGUCUCCGCUUACAUUAUAUUAAAAAAAAAAAGAAAUAAAAAGAAGAAGUCAGAACGGAAAGGUCCAAUGGAGCCCAAACAUUGGCCUUGAACUAUAGGCCCCCCAAACAAUUCUGUUCCAGUUCAAGGUUAAAUGAAAUUCACUUGAAUCAAGGAUCCAUGCCUCAUUAGUCUAUUUUAGUCCACUUCAAGUUUAAAUGUCUAUUUCAAAUUUUUGUAAAUCCUACUCUAAUUUGUUUAUAUUGUAUUGAAACUUAUGUACAUCUCAUUCUAACUUGUUUACACUCUAAAGGCCAGCUAAUUUGAUAUGGAACUUGUGACCAGAGAAGAAUGUGGAUAUAUGAUCAUGCCAGUAUCCCCUUAUUGGACCAUUCAUAGUACUGGAUUUUGGACAUAGUUCGAAAACCAUGGUGAAUAAGUGACUCGAAUCGUUGUCAAAAUAACUAAUCAGAAUUAAGUGCCCAUGCCAACAUGUCGUGGUUAAGCGAGGAUUAAGGGUCUAAGCUUGAGUCUACUUAACACUUCUAACUGGCAGUAUGCGAGAAUGAGCCUACACUUUGAUCUACACAUAGUGGACAAUCACUCUAGAUUUCAUUGCACACAAAAAUUAAAAGAAAAUGAAAAUCAAGAAGCCAAGUAGUCUCCUCACUAUAAUGUGAUUUGACCAUUUUUGGAUUGUCAUUUUUUCUCAAAAAAAUUUUACCUUUUCAUGAAUACAUUUUUCAAUCAUCAUAUAUAUCAAAUCGUUACAUUACAUUUUUUUUUAACAAAGACUUCAGAAAACAAUGAUCCAAACGGGAGCACAUUAUAAAUUAUUUUGGCCAGAAGGAAAUUUAUUUGCCAAUAUUCUAAUUCUCAAUUCAUAAAUAUUUAUAAAUGUUAAUGCAUCUUCUGAUUUAGUUAAAUUAUGUUUAACUCGAGAUCUACUGAGUGUAACACAUAAUAGAACCAUGUACAAUGUGUGUAUAGGUAAUUGAAGAAGACCACAAAUAAUAAACUUGGCAUUCAUGGACAUCCUCAUGUCAUAGUACUGUACAAGGUACUAUACAUUUUCGGUGUCAUAAAAAAAUUUUCGGUGGGCACAUUAAUGGCACCUGACUUAUUAGGCAGUGACAUGUUCUCGUUUUUGAACGUCAUAUAAAAGGUCUGGUACUACAAUGCGUCACAUUCCAACCCAGCAAAAACGCCUUUCAAGAAACAUGGACAAGAGCAUGGACAAGAAAAUGGCAGAAAAAGAAACAUGGACAAGAGCAAAAUUGAAAAAUAGAGACAAUUGGAGAGAGAGUUUAUGUUAGUCUUGAAAUUGAACAGAAUUGGAUUUCUUGAAUAUACUGCAAUUGCAAAACAAAGGGCCGUUAAAUCAGUUCUUAGCAUGUGGAUCGAUGAACAAAAUAUAAACUAUUUACUUUGCAUUGAGAUACAUAUACAGUAUCAUGUGAUUUUUUUUUUUUUUUUAAAAAAAAGGUUUAAAAUGGCUGAAGUGAUUUAGGCAAUUUUGUUUUCAUUUUGUAAGUGUAUUCUAACCAGAGUAAUGAGAGAAUAUAGUAACAUUGAUCUGAAAUUUCAAAACUUUUUAUUUUUCAAAACAAAAAUGUAUAAUUACCAGCUGGCGACCUGUCUGGUCAAGAAUUCCGGAUGCUGCUGAUGCAUAGUUAACGCCUUCAGUGAUGUCCUGGCCUUUGAUAUUUGCAAAUGGAGGCAUGUAGCCGGCAAAUCCAAGGAGCUCAGCUGCCAGAAACAGACGUAUACUUUCUUUCUAUCAUUAAGUAGCACAUAUCUAAGUGGCAAGCCCUAGCUUGUUUACGAAAUUCAUCUCUCUUUUUUUUCAGUCCUUAAACUUCAAGCAUCUCUUUACGAGAUAGAUUUCAUAUUUUAAGAGUAAUGUUCGAAGUUGAAGUUUAAGAACUAUAAAGUUGAUGCUUUCAUAUUUUAAGAGUUAAAAGUGUCCAAGAAUAAAAAUUAAAAACUCAGCUUGAAAUGCUUUUAGGAGUCCAAAGUGGAAUAUAGUCUUCAAUUCAUAAAAGAGUCCAUACGAAUCAAAAAACUUUUUGAAAGAAAUAAUACAAUUUAAAAAAAAAAAAAAAAAAAAGAAGUUUUGUGCUGGAUAUUGAAAAAGAAAGAGAUGGUUACCUAUGAAGUCCGCAUGGUUUCGCCCAUUGGUGAAGCGACCAGUUGGACCUUCCGGGAAAUCAAUGCCGUAAGGUGGAUAAUUUGCCUUGGCGGUAGUGUUCAGGUCAUUGUUGUUGCCAUUGUCAUCUUGUGAGUCACCGAAAAUGAAGUAACAAGGGACCUGUGGAUUGCCCAGAGCAAAUGGUUGCAAGAAGAAGAAGAUGACCAUUCCUACGACGGGCAAGAGAACCCAUUGCUUUGUUACAAAAGUCAUGAAUGCCGAUGAGGAAAGAAGCAAGUGAUAGGAAAAGCCAGACGCGGAGGUACCAAAGUCAUUGCCAAAAUAUAGAAGGCAGAGGAGCUAUUGCAGUUGGCUGUAGUGGUGGUCCACCUUGGGAGAGGGCGGAGCCACUCCAUCUCCAUGUGCAGCCUGUUAAACCUGACCCGGCAAAGGAGUCGGUGAUUGAUUCAACUAAUGAAUUGAUUGUUGAAUCUGUGGGUCGAUCACUAAAAAAAUAUUUAUAAGGGUAAAUUAUAUUAACUUCCCCUCUUGUUUUUACAAAAGUUAGGGAUCUCCACUCUUGAUCUCGGAACAAAGAGGACCUCCCCUCUUGUCUGCCAAAUAACAAGAAAAGCUUCCCUACCUAGCUAUGAUCAGGGGAGAAAUGUUAACUACUUUUGUCAUAAACUCAAUUCAAAGUCCCCAAACCACCAUUUCAAUGACACAAGUAAUUAUUUCCAAAAAAAAAUUAAGAAAAAUAGAGUGGAGUACCGAUCACACAUAAUUUUAUUUAUAGCCAUAAAAGUAAAUCCAUAAUACUUCUUUUCUAUAUUAGCUUUGCCACAAAAUAAGUUGAUGUCUUGAAUCAUUUAUGUAAUAUUCAUGUAUAUACAAGUUGAAAUUUUAAAUUGUUAAUAUAUUUGAUAAAUGUACAGUUUGGACACCUCAUUUUAUUAGAAUCCAAUUUAUUCUUGAAGUAGGUACACAUGCAAAUCUAUUAAUUUUGACUGGGAAGAAUAAAAAUAAUGAACAAAUUAAAUAUGGGAAAUCUUCAAAUUUUAAUGCAUAAAAAUCGCUUUAUUCUUCUUUUUUCCCCCCAUUUCUUAGAGAACUAAAGCUCUUUGUUUUGACAAUUUUCUUUUGUUUAAUAUAAGAUAAAGGGUAAAAAUGUAAAAUGAAAACUAUUGUAAAUGUUGACUUGAUGGAAGACAUUAUUGAUAAGAGAGGCUCAUGUUGUCUCAGAAUCACGAGAAGAGACCCCUGACUGUUGCAGGAAACUAGAGGGGAGGUCAGUGUAAUUCACCGUCUUUGCAAAUACAUGUGACAUAAUUAUUAGUUAUCUUGAGGUGCGUAGAAUUUAUAAAUAAAGUACUUCAUCAAUAUUAAUUAGUACAUCUAAAAAGAUAUAUUUUGAAUAUAUAAACUUAAUAAAUGAGUCAAUUUCUUUAUAUCAUACUUUAAAAAUAUAAAGCAUGCAUUCAAAGAUAAACAAAAAAUUAGCUUAUUUAUUAAAAGAAUAGGCUUUUAAGGAAAUAGAAUUAAGUUUUUGUCAAUACUUUGCCAAAAAAAUUCAAUUAAUUUUCAACCGUUGUUUACGUAAUAAUAACACUUUCAUAUUGAAAGUUGAAUUAAUUAUGCAAUAAUAAAGUAAACAAAUACAUUUGAAGGGACAUUUGGUCAACAAGUGAAAGUUUAUUUCCAAUAAUAAAGUCUUUUGCACGUCAAUGAAGACAUUCAUAUUUCCCCUUGAGAAAAAAUUGAACUUUAAACAAAAUUAUUUUGAGAUUCAAGGUCCAGACAUUGGUAAAAACAUACAUUUUGAUCCAAAAACAAAGACCUAUGUUAUUCAUCGCAGGGGAGGUUAGGUCAGUCCAAAUAAGGCUUGACCGAUUACAUAUUGUCAAAUUAAUAAGAUAAUUGUACACAGAUAUACAUCGGUCCAAUCUCAUUCCGAAUCAAUACUAUGAAGUGGACUCACAUUGGGUCUUAAUAUAUACAUGUGUGUGUGUGUGUGUGUGAGAGAGAGACCUUGAAGCAGGUUGGGCUUGGGCCACCAAGAUUUUAUUACCGGUUCGAUUUUAAUAUAUAGUAUCAGGACGUAGAGAUUAUGAAUUCAAAUUUCCUUUUCGCCUACUCUUUGUUUUCUAAAUCUCACCUCUUUUAAUUUUUUUUUUUAAAGUAGGUUAUAUAGUUGUAAGAGUAUAUAGGGUUAGAACAAUCACAGGGGCAAACUAGUAUACCAUGGUAUAAUCCCACCCCUUAUUUAUCUUGGGAAAACUGUUACCACCUCCAAUGUAAGAUUAUUUUAUCUUACGAAUGAGGGAUUAAUUUGGUAAAAUGAAAAGUCUAAUUGCAUAAAACUAACUAAAUAUGGGAUAACAUAAUAUUAAUAAUUUAAUCCUAUGUCAUCUCAUGCAACAAACUAGCGAAGUCUUUUAGACUAAUAAAGGCACGGUUUGAAUCCGAACGUAUUAUACUGACUGUCAAUUUAUUGUGGCAAAUCUGGAAAUCUAGAAAUGAGAAACAGUUCAAUGGUCAGGAAAGGAAUCCGUUAGUAGCAGUGAGUAAGGCAGUGGGGGAAUGGAAGGAGUUUCAGGAUGCUCAAGCAGAGGAAUUGGAGAGUCAGGGAAGUGGUAAGCAUGAAGCUGAGGGAUCAAGGGGGUGGAGGCUUCCUCAGGAAGGUUGGGUCAAGAUAAACACAGAUGCUGCAUUACAAAAGAAGGAAGGUCUGGCGGGAUGGGGAAUGGUUGCAAGGGAUUGGCAAGGGAAAGUUCUGAAAGCUUGGGCAAUACCAAACCGUAGCUGUUCUAAUCCAAAACUGGAGGAGUCAUUGGCUUUAAGAGCUGCCAUGUUGCUGGCAAAACAGCAGGGUUGGAAGAAGGUGAUGUUUGAAUCGGACUGCCUACAGGUGGUGGAGGAAAUUAACAAGGAGCAGUCGUAUGAGAUAGGCUCAGUAGUAUUAGAUGAUAUCAGGGAACUUAGGAAAAAUUUUUACGAAUGUUGUUUUACCUUUACUCGAAGAGUAAACAACUUUGUUAGCCAUAGACUUGCCAAAUUGGCAAUUAGCUUAACAAUACAAACUGAAUGGAAGGACAUCUUCCCAGACUGGCUGCCUGCACUGGUGCAAGCAGAUAUUGAGGGCAGUUGCCCAUCUUUCAUGUAAAGUUUAUGUUCAGUAAUAGAAUGUUACCGACCUUUUGACAAAAAAAAAAAAGAAUCCUCACUCAAUCAAACAUGUGAUUACAUAAAGGUCUUUUAGAACUAUAAGAACACUUAAUAAACUUUGAACGAGGAUUCUGCACAGACAUUGGGCUUUUACACAAUUCUAAUAGUAAUUAUAAAUGGUCUGAGAUUAAUGAUAACAUAUUGUUUCCAUUGAGGAGAUAAUGUCAUACUAGCACAUUCGGACUCUCCAGUUUUAUUACAUCGAGUUUGACUUGUUGGAAACUUGGAAUAUAGAAAUAUCAUGGGACACAUAGAUACAGUCUAUUGUAUCUUCACUUUAUCAUGACAGGUUUUGCCUGUAGGCCGCCAAUGGCAAGAGGAUCAGCAUCAAGUAAUGAGGAUAACGCAGAAUAUGCUAAUCUUGAAUAUGCUUCAUUGACUACUUCACUGGGAUGGAAAUCAUCCCAAAAAUAAUAUUGGUUCCUGUUGCUGCAGGGAAUUUGUCCAGGAAUACACUGUCCACGAGCAACUGUUGCAGACACGUUGCAGCAUGGUGCAUUGCCAAUUGUAAUUUCUGAAAUAGAUUAAGUGUAAGAUUGAAUUAAAAAGAGAGAACAGAACCGGCAAAAAAAAAAAAAACAGCGGAAUGUAAGACAGCAGGAAAGAUACAAUGACUUCAUUUGUUGAAAAAAAAAAAAAAGAAAACAAGAAACAUAAACUAACUAAGAUCUCCUCAACAAUAAUUUUUUGAAUGCAGUAUUUAUUAUUUAUUCAGGUUGAAUCUAUUUUGUGAAUCAAACAGAAUGUUCCAGUAAAAUAGGAGCUCAACGUACCUGCCGGGGUGGAUAAAUUGUUCAAAUUGAUUGCUCUCACAUCUACAUAAAGAAAUUGUGCAUCGCUUAACUCGGUAUUCAGUUCUUCAACCAGUGGCUUGAGCUUGUCAUUGAAUAACAGAACUUCAUCGUUAAUAGAAUCCACACAGUUACCAUCUGCAGAUAACUCAGCAGGUAUGCAGCCAAGCAAACCAAGCCCAAAAACAGCUAUUUUUCUUGCCCCCAAUCUGUACAAAGUCUAGCACCAAAAGGGUUUCAAGUUAAUUUUCUUUUUCUUUUUUUUUUUUUUAAAUUUAUAUACCUGGUGAACACGAAAAUAAUGAACGAAGACUGAAUUUUGUUAAAGAAAAAUAAACAUAAUAAUAACUAAACCAACCCGUAGUUGCUGAGAAUAAUGCCUAAUUAACAAGCUGGCAAAUUCUGUUGGAGUAUAUAGGUGGCUUGUAGGAUAAUAUUCUGGCAACAAGUAGUUGUUGAUGUAGUCAUUAUUCCCCAAUGCAGCAGUGUACAGACAUUUGGCCAGAUAUUCUUUUGUUGCAGAUCUGUUUCCAAUCAACCGCACGAUGCGCGAAAUUACUCUCUCGUGAUUGUGCAAUUGUUCGUUGAAGCUGAAGAGAUCGCCCUAUUAGCAAAUAAAAAAGCAUCAUGCAGAGCGGCUUUUGGUCAUGUUACCUCCUUCAUGUGAAAAUUAACAAUAAAAUAAAGAGCAAAGCACCUAUACUCUUUUUUCCCGCAUUAUAUUUAGAUUUUUUCUUUAAAAGUGGGAUUCUUAUGCUUUAUCUUGCACUGACACCUAAGGUGUUGAUCGCUCAAAAACCAUUGCAUCUACUUUUUGCCUUGCACAUACAUUAGGUUGUCAUAAAAUUCUUAUCCUUUUUCCCUUCUCAAUUACUCCUUUUUGUUAAAAUUUAUGCCUCUGAGCUCCCUUUCUUUGUAUUUUCUAAGAAAUUUUAUUCAAGCUGUAGGACUUAUCAUCUAUAAUUAGGCAACGAGAAUAUCUUUGGGUUAGCUUCCUUUUAUUGAGCAAUUUCAAAGAGCUGAAUGUGUUUAUCAAACAAGAAAUCGGACACUAAUAGAAACAAGAGAUCAAGCUAUGACAAUCUAAUAAAACCUUAUGCAUAAAUUGCCAUCUAUAGCGUGGGUUGAGCAGCAAAUUACUUCCUAUAGACGAUCAACCAGACGAGUGGCCCAGAUUUUUGGUACAGGAGAAGUGUGAAAGACAUUUAUGCCCUCAAUACAUAAUACUUUGGUAGUUCUAUUAUUUUUAAGAGUGGUGUUAUUAUAUUCUACUAGUAAAGAACAUUGUACACUGCUCUCUAGAAAAUGGUGAUACAAUUGUAGAUAUAAAAAAUGAAAUAAUUUCAGAAACCUCCCAUGAGUUUUCUGACACUUUCACUGACCUCUUUUGAAAUUUCAAAAAUUACACUAUCCUCCUUUGAACUUAAGGUUUUGGUAACAAAAUCAGUCCAACUCAGAAAAAAGCACUAUUGAAAAAGUAUUUUGAGGAGUGAGAUGAUAAUUUUCUUUCAUAUAUGCCCUUUUCUAAUUGUCUUCAAGUUGUAUUAGUAAAGCAAAAAAUAAUUAAUAAAAAUCAAGGAAUAUAUGUAAAAUUUGAAAAGAUGCAGCAACUAUAACCUGAAGCAACAAUGGUUUUUGCACAUGCUAGUGCAAAUUGUAAUGGCCAUAUUUUUUGUCAUUUGCAAGUUGCAACUAUAUAUAAAAGACACAACUAACUCUAUAAUGCCAUUAAAUUAUUGGUAUAAGCAUCUAAAUUUGGGCAAAAAAAUUAAUCUUUUUAUUGUAGUUGACGAGGUAAAAGUAAAUAUAUUGAUGCAGAAAACAUACAAGUCUUAGUCAACAAAUCAACAAUAAACAGUAUAAAUAGUUUUGUUUAACCACAAGAUUCAACAAAAUAAGUUAGUCAAAAAAAUUUUCUAUUUCUCUUGCUCAUAAGGUCUAUUUGUGCAGAUUAUAUAAGGUUGUCUAUUCCAAUUAUUGUCAAGUGAUAUCAAUCACAAAAAAAGUGCCAUCUUAAGAUAGCAAUUGAUGCAAUUUUUUGAUUGUAAUUAUGGUUGCUAAUUUGAGAUGAAAUAAUCAUAUUUUGGUUUAAUUAGUUAAUCUUAUUUAUUUAGUGCCCUAAUCUUUUUUUUUGUCAUAUAUCCAUUUGUAAUAAUGCAUAACAUCUUAGGGCAAAGUAGUACUUUCACUAUAUUUUAUAUAAGUAAUUAAUGGGUCCAAAUUUUUGGCAAGAGAGGUUAGUAUAAUUUUUAAAAUCUUAAGGGAGGUCAGUGAAAGUGUUAGAAACCUCAAGAGAGGUUUCUGAAAUUAUCCCAUAAAAAAUUACAUAAAUUAUUUUUACUAAAAAAAUUUAGUUGUGAUAAAUUAUACUAUUUAAUUUUUUUAGAAGAGAAUACCAAUAUAUAUUUGAAUAUCAAAAGGAAUUAUGAAUAAUGAGAAAGAAACAAAAAUUGAAUGUCAAAUAAUUUUUAUAAAUAUUUAAUUUCCAUUUGUUGUGAUAAGGAACUAUCACUAAAAAUACAAUACUUUUUUGUUGUGUAUAUACUUAACCGGUAUAUAAUAUCAUGUUAUGCAUGCACACAUAUAGUUACAUAUACACACACACACAUACAUACAUACAUAUGUCGGUACGUGGGCCAUGUACCCUUUUGCCAAUCUUGAAUUCUCGGUGCCAAAUUUGCAUAUAUAUGUAUGCAUGCAUGCAUGUAUAUAUGUGUGUAUAUGUAUAUCUAUAUAUGUGUAUGUAUGUGUUGCAUUUUUUGAAAGUAAAUUAAAUAUAUACUUUUUUUGAGUCAGAAAACAUUCAUUUUAGUAAUAAUUCCUAUAACAUUAAAUAAAAAUUAUUAUUCAUGAGAAAAUUUUCAAUUUCGUUUUUCCUUGUUUGUCCUCAUUAGUAAAUUCCUUUUGAUGUUUAGACAAUUUUUGAUACAUUCUUAUGUAAAAUAUUUCAAUAUCAUAAACUAUCAUAAGAAACUAUAUGUCGUUUAGUAAACUAAUUUAAGUGAUCUCUACAAUUACAUCUCCAAUUAUCACCAUUUUUUGGACAUCAAAUUAUUUUGUUAAUAGUUUAAUAAAAACAUUUUUUAAGGACAAAAUUGUCGAAGUAUUAUACAUCACAAUGCAUGACUAUCUUGUCAUACCUCUAUAUAUAGAAAUUUAACCCACAUGUUUGUUCGUUUGUCUAUAAAUAGCAAUUUAUCUGUUUUGGCAUUAUAGGUAGAGGGUUCAAACUUCAAAAAAAAAAAAAUGGAAAAACCAGUUGACGCAAUUUAGAUUGAAUUUCGGAUCUAGGUAAAAUCGAAAUAUAUCCAUUUAUAAUAUUUGAUAAAAUAGUUUGGGAAUGGAUAUUAAAAAUAUAUUUUCAAAUUACCAAUUACUAGCUGAAUUUUCAAUAUAUAUAUAUGUGUGUGUGUGUGUUAUAUAUGUACAUAUUACUAAAUAUUCAUUAGAAAUUAGUUAACUAUUGAUUACUCUAGUGCAGUAUUUACUAAUUUACUACUAACGAACUUAGUGAUUUCCCACUAAAAUUGGUCAAUAGCAGAGACAGGAGCAUGCAGAUUCUCUCUACCGGCUGGUUCUUUUUGCAUUGUCUCUAGAACCGAUGGCCUAAAGCUGGCAAGUUACUUUGUUUUCUUUCUUUUUCUUUUUAUUUUCAUUUUCCUUUUUCUUUCCUUAAGUAAUUUUACCACUUUAGCAUGCCAUGCGGUUUAACUGUGAGGAAAUUAUUUCUAAAGUGGAAAUUAUGUCAACAAUGACCCAACGUAUAUGAAAAGAUUUCAUUUGAAAAUUUCCUAAAAUUGACAUUCUAUAGAUACCUGUGUCUAAAUUCAAUACACAGACAGCAUUAGGAUCGGUAUUUGGUGGACCAACCAAAGAAGAAUGUGCAUAAGAUUAUGACAAUAUCCUCCAAUUCGAUCCGUAAACAGCCUAGAUACUGGACAUAGCUCGAAACAUGACAAAUAACUAUCCUGCUCUUCGUCAAAAUUGACUAAUGAAAAUAAUUCUGUAUGCCUAAAAUUCAGGAUCUACGCAGUCGCACCUACAAUAGCAGAAUACAUUUAAUUGUCGAAAUCGUGGCACAUUGGUUCAGUCCAGUUUGAUCUGAACAAUUCAUUUCAAAACAUUUUAAUUUGAAAUAAAUGGCAAGGUCAUAUGCAUUAUCUGAUUUGAACUACUAAUUGUACUGUGCAUCUACAGGUUCCCUCAUCCAAAAAGUCAGGAUAGUGUCAAAGCUUGGCCCUAUCCCUUUGCAUUCGAAGCGGCAGGAAUGCGCCUAGACUUCGAUCUAUGCUCAGUGGACAAUCAUUCUUGUUUUCCUUUUUCUCUUCUUUUAUUUAAAAUCAUGUAAAACGUGUAUUUAGAUACUUGAAGAACACCACAAAAAAUGAAUGGCCAAUAUUGAUCUAUUAGUACCGUACUGUAUUUUAGGAUCCCCCCUCAUUGUUUACCUCUCAAGAAAAGUUUGAUGGAGUGUCAUCAUCAUUUUGCAUAUUGAACUUUAUCAUGUUAUUCCUUCCCAAAAAAAAAAAAAAAAAAAAAAACUUUAUCUUGUUAUUGUAGUGCUACAAAGUGCAGACUUCAUUACAAGACAGCAAUCUUUUCUCACUUUUUGGAUGUAACACAAAAGGUUUGGCACACAACAUUACAUUUCAGAUUUUUUUUUUUUUUUAUGUAGCAUGGACAGGGACAAAUCUGGAAAAUUGGGGUCAAUUAAUGAUUUUAUGAGGAUGUUGAUAUUUGACAAGAGUUGGAUUUCCAAAAUUAACUGCAAUUACAAGACAAUGGACUACUAAACCAAUUCUUAGCAUGUGGAUGUACAAAUCUAACUAUUUAGUUUGCAUUAGCAAAAGUAGAUGCAUGCACCAUCAUGUGAUUAAAACAGAAGAAAAAAACAAAAGCUUUAAGAAUGUCGAAGUUAUUUCGGCAUUUUUCUUUUCUUUUGCAACCUUUGUUGUGGGAGUAUGUCAUCGGUAUCAACUUCUAAGCACCUAUUUUUUGAGAAAAUAAGCUGUCUGCUUACCAGGUGACGACCUGUCUGAUCAAGAAUUCCAGAUGCUCCUGAAGCAUAAUUAAUGCCUUUAGUGAUAUCCCGGCCUUCUGUAUUUGCAAAUGGAGGUAUGUAGCUGUCAAAUCCAAGGAGCUCACCUGCCACAAAGAGACGUACACUUUCUAAUUCAUACCACGAAUUAUUGGACCUGGAUCCUGUGCAACCGCAAGGGCAAUUGACAAAUUUGACGCUCCUUCAUUUAUUUAGUCAUAUUUAGAAAAUUUAACUUUUAAAAAUAAUAGUUUAAUUGUGAUUUUUGUGUUUCUUUUUUCUAAUUUUAUUCCAAUAAAUUUGAAAUUUAAAUUUAAAUAAUAACAUAAAUAUGAUUAAAAAAAGAAUUAUAUUAAAAAAGACACUAAAAUAUAUUUUGAUUUUUUUAUAUACGACAAUUAUUUUAGAACAUUACAGAAUGAAAGUACGACACUUUCAAUAUCAUGAUAUGAAGGGAAUAGUUUAGAUCAGUCCAACUAAAUUUGAAUUGAUCUCAACGGUUAACUUAAAAUUUAUUGAGUUGUUAUCGGCCGUCGAAUGGCCCAUACGGUUGUACGUAUAACUGCAACGGGUCCAAAUCCCAAACUGUUGAUGUUGAUGUAUAACAUACAGGGCUGAGGGCACCAAUGAUUGUCGUUGAGAACAGUUCUGAAUUGAAUUAUGUAAUAUUUUUUUGAAUAAAAUAUAAGUCUACAUAAAUUAUUUGUAAAAUUUAAUAAUAGAGACAUAAUUAUUACAUAUGGAAUUUACAUAAAUAGUAACAAAAUAUCACAUCCAUAUUAUAAAGAUGUAUAAAAAAAUUUACAUAAAAUUAUAAAAUAUUUAAAAAAUAUUACACUGUUUCCCGCUCUCAUAACAUACGAGAUGGCAUGCACUAACUAGCAGCUUGCCGCCUAUGGGAAAAUGUCUAUAAGAAAAAAAGUCUUUCUGAAAGACAAUAUAUAAACAAAAAAAUUCUAUAAUAUAUAGAAACAGGGGUUAAUUUCACUUUGUCCCCCCAAACUUUGGACGAUUACCCACUUCAGUCCCUAAACUUUAAAAUGGGAUACUUAAGUCCCUAAAACUUAUAAAUUGGGACACUUAAGUCCCUAAACUUAUAAAAUGAGUCACUUAAAUCCCUAAACUUAUAAAAUGGGACAAUUCGACCACCAACGGCAUUCAGGAUUCUGUCAACAAUUUUCCUUAAUUGGGAAGUAUUUAUAAGUUUAGGAACUUAAGUGUCCCAUUUUGAAGUUUAGGGACUGAAGUGGGUAAUCGUCCAAAGCUUGGGGGGACAAAGUGGAAUUAACCCUAGAAACAGUGACCAAGUCAAGAAUUUAUGAUAACAGCAGUGACUCGUGAAUAUUGAAUUAAUUCUUUACGAGUCUUAAAAAUAAUAGAAAUUAAAGAAGUCCGGAAAGCAAAAAUCGGGGGAUUUUUAGGGCGAGGGGGGUGAUUCUGAUAUAUGUCAUUUUAGUCAAAAUAGCAUGGGCACAAGAGAAGGUCAUUUUACAAAAACUUCAAAACUUAACAGAGAGAGAGUUAAAAGAAUAUUUUAAAACUUAGGGGGUGCAGCUCUUGGUCGCCUGCUGCCUCAGCCUCUAAUAAUGGAUAGGAUAGGAAAGAGAUAGUCACCAAUGAAGUCUGCAGGAUUUCGGCCAUUGGUGAAGCGACCGGUUGGACCUUCUGGGAAAUCAAUGCCGUAAGGUGGAUAAUUUGCCCUGGCAGUUGUGUUCAGGUGAUUAUUGUUGCCAUUGUCAUCUUGCGAGUCUCCAAAAAUGAAGUAGCAAGGGACCUGUUGUUCGCCUAGGGCAAAUGGUUUCAAGAAACAGACAACCACUACAAUGAUGGAUAGGAGAAACCAUCGCCUGGCUGCAAAAGCCAUGAAUGCAGAUUGACAAGAAGAAAAAGGCAAUGGUAGGUUUAGCAAGUCAGAGGAAAAGGCAAAUAUGGAGGCACCAAGGAUGCAGAGCGGGAGCCAAUAUUUUAUACAAGGCGGAAGCACUACUGUAAUUGGUCGAUUCUGUGGAGUGAAUUGGAACUCGUCAUUUCUUAGACAACUGAAUUUUGUACGUGACUGUAAAAAGUAUUUUUCUGGUCAUUUUGUUUGUGCAUGAAGAAAACUUUUUCAGUGUACAUACUACAUACUAUCAUUAAAUACACAAUUUGUAAUAAUAGUGUGUUUGGACAGCCAAUUAUUUGGCCAAAUAUAUUUGCUGACAUCACCAUCACAAUUUUCAAUACACUUUUUUAUCUUCUCAAUUACCUUUUUAUCUCACAUACAUCACAUCACAAAAAGUGCUAUAGUAAAAAUAUUUCAAAUAACUUACAAUCCAAACACACUCGUGUUUCAGAGAUAAUCAUGACGUUGAACCAAAUGAUAGUACUAUUUUUGUGUACUGUACAACUAUAGAUCAUAAUUGAAGAUCGGUUAUUUAUUUUUACAUAUCAAAAGUUUGAAGAUUUUUCAUUUAUUUUCAAAUAACACUUAAUUUAUACCGACUUUAAGAAAUUUUCAAUAGAAAAAAAAAAAAAAAAAAGAGUUGGGGCCUGGGGUAGCAAUUACCCGCCCUCGAUUGGACAUGGUUCCGCCCUGAUUCUGCCAGCCAUUAUUUAUGCACUACAGCCCACAAUAAUGCAGAAAGUAGUUACCAGCUGGAUUUUUAAUAUUUAAUUGGCCUAUGCUUUAACUUUAUACUGGAGCCAGUUGAAUUUUUAUUGUCCUUUGGUAAAUCCGACAAGGAUUACUGAAAAGUGGGGGGUGACGGUUUUGCACAUCACAUCAAUGUCCAAUGCAGUACUGCAUGCGAAAGCACUGCAAUGGAAUGGCCUUCUCAUCUUAAACAAGUUUCCGGAGUUGGAUGCAGCAGGAAUUCAAAAUUCCAUAUGUAGUAAAAAUUUUUUUUAAAAAGGUGUUAGAGCACCUCUUUAAUUUAGUUAGAUUUGCAUACCUGUUAAUUGCUUAUAUAAUCUCUUUAAACUUCCCUUCCUUGCAAAAUAUAGAAUAGAUUAGAUUAUAAAUAUAUUAUAAAAAAAUAUGUACACCGUCCUCUCUAAACUCUCUUCUCUAUAAAAUAGGAUAUAUUAUAUUAUAAAAAUAUUAUCAAAAAUAUGUACACUGUCCUCUUUAGACUCUUCUUUUUGUAGAAUAUGAUAGAUUAUGUUAUAAAAUGGUUGUAGCAAAAAAAUAUAAAAAAAGUACAACGCCUUCAAUAUUACUCUGUAACCUACUUUAUUUGGAUUGAGUGUUUUUUUUUUUGACAAAUUAUUUUUGUUUGUGAAAUUUAUGGUAACAAACUUCAAAAAUAACUCUAAAAACACAUAAUUUCAAAUACAACUUAUAAAAAUAAAAAUUAAACUAAAAAAAUUAAAUAACAAAUGUAACAAAUCCUAUCAUCCAUUUUUCUUCUAUUCACUACCCAUGACAUACCAUUACCUACCAUUAUCCAUGUCCUCGUCCCUCCUCCUCUGCCUCUUCCUUCUCCUCCAUUUUUCUUUUCCUCCCCUUCCCUCUCCUCUCCCUUCCACUGCUGGCCCCAGCCAAGCCUUUCCCCCCUCUUAUUUCCCUUUUGGUUGCAACCAAAAUGUCACGAGAGAUCCGGUUGCCACCAAAAGAGGAAGAAAUAGGAAGGGGGGUCAACGAGAGGUGAGAGAAGGAAAGAAAGAGGAAGGGCGAGGAUGGAAGAGAGAGGAGGGGAAGGGGAUAGUGACAACAGUAGAGGAAGGAGUAGGGGAGGGUAAUGGACUAUUUUAAAACAAAUUUAUAAAAAAUAUUUAAAAAUUUUUAAAUUCUAAAAAUACCUCAAAACACAGAAUUCAAAUGAAUAAUCUACAACAAAUUUUUUUUACAUAUAUUGCUACAGUAAAUUUUUUGAAAAAGAACCCUAAAAAUAUCUAAUUCAUAUGGAGUUUACAAAGAUAUUUUAAGUUUCUAGUUGGAUAUGUUUUAUGCUCGAAUGCUCAAUAUAAUUCCAAUUAUAAAUUAUUGGCACCACACCACAAUUCAGAACAUAUUACAUAUGGAAAGGAAUAAGCAUUCCAUGAUGAAGAGGUAGAUGCCUUGUUUUUUUAAGCAAUGUAGUGGUUGAUGCGUGAUAGCCGUUUACCAGUUAUUAAUAAGACUCAUAGUCAAUUUUGUCUUAAGUUACGGAACAUAUUAUUAAUAUUAAUAGUUAUAAGGGUAAAGUGUGUGUGGGUCAUCAAACAUUUCAAAAUUUUCAUUUCGCCUACAAAAUUAUUUUUCGUAUCGAAUAUCCCACCGAAUUUCUAAAUGUUCUUCAUCUUGAUCACUCCGUUAACUCUAACUGCUAAAAUGGAUAGAAGUUAGUCCAUUUGACAGGCCGGCCUGCUUUAAAUAGAUAAUUUGGACAUUUUGCCUGAAACCAUCCGACUCUAGCUCGUUUGGGAGGACGGAUUUGGUGAGAAAAGAAAGAACUAAGAAAGAAAGUAAAAUCAUUUAGCAUUUGGGAGUUUUAAUAGCAAGGAAAUAGAAAGAAAAGGAAGGAUCUCACGUCCUUUCAAGUUACAAAAACCCUCAGCCCAAAAUUAGGCGAAAAGCAUGAGAAAGGAAAGUGAAUUAAAUUUGAUGACCUAUUGACAAAAAAAAAAAAAGGAAAGUGAAUUAAAUAAAUAUUUUAAUAUAUCGAUUUUGCCUUUAUAAAGAUUAUAACAUAACAUUUUCCUAUAUUAGGUGAAUUUCAAGUUUCAAGGGUACUAAUGUAAAAUAGAAUCUUUUCCUUUUACUUCUCUUCACUCCCAAAUAAAAGAUACUCACUUCAUUAUCUUUCUUUGCAAAAACUCCCAAAUAACAUGAAGAAAUAUUACAAUCUCUUCUUCUCUUUUCUAACUUAAGCUUUCGCUUCUUUUCUAUUCUCUCCCAAACUAGCCAUUAAACUUUCAGCUCCCCAUUCGAUGACCCAUUUCUUGUUUAUCUAUUUUCUCUUGGAAUCUAACUCAAUCAUUCUCUCCAAGCCUUAAUAGUUUCUUUUGUAGUCUUGAAUUUUUUUUUUUUUUUUAGUCUCCUGUACAUACAAGUGAGGUUGGGGCAACUUACAUAAAUUUUGUUUCUUUUUUCUAUUGGGAAUCUUUAGAAGGAAACUCUUUAAAAUUUGUGGUGCUCUCCUUUGGUCUGGCUGUCAAGAUUUGAGGGUUUUCUUUUCAAUGCAAUCCUUUGAUUAUUGGCGUUUCUUUAAACCAAUGACACUGAAAAAAAAACCUUGAUCUUAGUGAUUAAUUUUUGUACUAAUGAUUUUAACAUUGAAAAUUUCAUGGGUUUCAGUUUUAAGAAGUAUUACACUCUUUUGGACGUAGCUACUAACUAAACAUAAAGCAAAAACCAUAUACCAGCAAAUAAGUAGGUGGGCUUCAUGCAAAACAUUCAAAUUGUCCAUUCAGAGGCGUUAAUUGUCGUCUAUCUUAACAGCAAAAGCUAAUUGAAUGGACAGUAUGAAGCACUUAAAGUUCAAUGUGCUAUUUGACCUGAAAAAUAUAUAUUUCAGUGAAUGAAAUAAGAAUCUUGAAAACUCUCCUGUGUUCCUUACCCUAGUCAUAAUUGAGGAAAAGUUAAAAGCCCAAAUUGGAUGAUCGCUUUCUAGGGUGCUUUUAGAGAAUAUAAUUGUAAUGCACUUUUCAAUGAAUAUAUACGUGACAUGGAGUGAUAAUUGGGUAACGUGUUUAAAAAUUUUCAAAAACAUACUAGCAAUUUUUUUUGGGGGGGGGGGCUGUUCUCGGACUGAGUAUUUCACUUGACUUCAAAUUCUGAUGUUACAUAAUUCAUGUUUUUUGACAUUCGUUCUCUUACGUUUGUGCAUAGAUUUAGAUUUUUUUUAAUGGUGAAAAAAAUGUUGGAAGUCCUGAACUUAAAUAACAGUAACUUUUGCUCAUUCUAAUUAAUUAGCUUUUUAUAAAAUUCACAGCUGACAACUGCCUUUCUUGUAACAGUAAAACUCACAAUUGCAUGUAUAAUCAUUUUCAAUCACCCGAUUACCUUCAUCAAUCCAUUAUUAGGUCUUCGAAACAUGCCAAUCCCAAAAGGACACCUCUUAAAGUGUAAACCAAUGUCCUUGGCUAAUGCAUCACAUAUAAAGUGAAUUUUAAUUUUAUGCACCGAGUACACCCAAUAAUGUCAUGGGCUGAAGCCUCAUAUAAUUUAUCUCACCAGAAUAUAGUAGGGAGUUUGUUAGGCGGAGAAUUUCGACAUAGAAAACUUUGUUUUUUUUUUUUUUGAGGGAUCCACAUAGAAAACUUACUAACCUUUUUCCUUGUCGUGUAUCCAUUUUACACGGUUUAUAGGGCUAUAUACCCCAUAUUCCGAACUCUAUGGCAGACAUGACAGUAGCUCAAAUUCAACGAGCAAUGGGAGAUGCCAGGAACGAUAACCAUGAAGCCAUCAAAAUGGCAAUUGUACAAGUCUUGACAUGUAGAAAAAAAAAAUCAUUAUCCACUUAGAAUUUUCCCUGUACUUUCAGCCAAUCUCCAACCACAAAUCUGCCCAAACUACCAAACAAAUUACUCAGUUGUUUUUACUUGAAGUGGCAGAGCCAUCUCAUUACGAGAGUAACAACUCAUAUGGGUUGGCCUACUCUCAGAACUCUUCACAUGUGAAACAGGAGGUGCACAGGAAAAAAGGGUACAAAAGGACCGUUGUCAUUAACGGACAAUUUUGUCUCCCAGCUAGAUAUAUAAUGUCCCAUUUCCAUUUAUCAUGUUCUUGAACCAGAGAAAUCAUCAAGUCUCAAAUAAACACAUAUAGAGUAGUAUUCAUUCUUACUGCUAUAUUUUUUUUUAUUUAACUUUCAUCUUGUACUUGUUUAUUUUAAUUAUGGUACAAGGAGCAAUUUGAAUAAGCAUUGUAUGACUAGUUAGAUUGAAGCUAUGAUAUGAGAAACUUGAAUAUGGGUUUUGUAAACUACUGUACUGUUGGGGAGAAAACCCUGAGAACCAAAUAAAGAGGUCCAAUAUAUGAAUGCUCAUAUUACACCCAAGUUGCUUCCCUAGUCCACCGCAAUACUCAAGACUAAUUCAACUAUUUGGAGCUAAAUCGUGGACCCUAUUUUCUUCAACACGUUAAUAGAAUCCCCGUCAAACCCCUAGUUCCAAGAUAUAUACACCAACUAGACUUAACAUAUUACUGGCUGCAUGGCCCAACAUAAGACGAUAACAAUCUAUCCGUCCGACAAAAAGAUAGCAAUUUACUGAUCUAUUAUUGAGAAGAAACAACUUGCAAAUAUGUAGCCUAGACUCAAACUCGAAACCUUUUUAUAAAGUGUAAAAUGAAAGAUCUCAAAUUUAGAAUCUCUCACUUACACUCUCUUCUUCUUCUGUACUAUUCAAUCUAUCCCUUUUCCAUAACUCGAAAACUUUGAUACCAUUGGUUGAGAAAAAAAAAAAAAAAUCAAAGAGAGCCCAUCAUAGAGGCAUAAAAUAUUUGGGAGCCUAAUGCCGAUGCAAAAGGUUAAAUUGAUAGGUCUUAAACCCUUAUCUAUAUAUUAAAAACUCUUUUUUUUUCUCUAAAAAUAAGGUAGGAUAACUAAUUUUACUCAUGAACCUAAAAAUUGUUCAAUUUGAUGGACCGGGAAAUGAACUUGCCCAGUUAACUUAGUCUAAUGUCUAGUUGACUCAUGAGACGUGUCCAGUUUCAUUACUUUGGAACUCCAACAUAAACUUACCAUGAUCACUUCAGAAGAAAAUAUUAUAUAUGAAUUUCCUCCAAUAGCCACUUUCCUCCUUAAUUCAAACAUAGACUUCCUUCCUUUAGCUAAUACACCACUCUCUAUAAUUCAGACCCCAUUCCAGCAUCUAGGAGGAAUAUUCCACCAAAAUGUGAACCCCCAAAAAAAAAAAAACAAAUAUGUAAUAGACUCUUAGGUUAAUGUGGUAUGGCUGAUGAAGCCAGUAAUAUAUACAACCACACAAUUGAAGAUAAGAGUUGAUGGUUCGGGAGGCAAUGAUCAUUUUAUGGACGAGAUGCGAGUAAAGUUGCGGGUAAUGUCCGGCAAUUAUAGCAAGACUUUUCAUGUACUGUUGUCCUACUCUAGUUUUGUUCGGUAUGAAAUGGUAAACGAUUUCAUCUCAGGAUUUUUGUCUAAAGAACGUCAACGUCUAAACAGCUGCAAAGCAAUUUACCAAUUUAGCAUACAAUAACCCUUCGCGCAAUUUAGCAUUUAACCUAUUUCCAAAGCACCAUUAAAUCACUAUUAGUUUCCUUCUUUAAUUGAUUUAUGUUGGCAAUCAUUUCUUUAGCUUAUGAUAAGUGAAUAAUUUACGUAAUAAUUGUAUGAUAUUUUAUAUUAUUUUUAGUCACUUUGGUUAUAUUACUGGAAAAAAAUGAAUCAUUUUGGCUAUAAUUGGUGAAAAAUGCUUUUAAGUGGUUAAAUAAGGUUUUUAUCACUUUUUACUUGGAUUUUAUGCAUUUUGACAGUUUUGACACAUUUUCAUAUUUCGGCUAUAACUUGAGCUACAAUGAUCGGAUUGAGAUGAUUCUUAAACCAAUUUGAAGAUAAGAGAUAGAUCUACAACUUUGUUGAAGACAUCUGAAUCCAGUUUGAAGGUUUUCCAGGUCAAAAAGCCGAAUUACAAUAGCUAAUUUCUAUUGGUCGAAGCUGAAACAGAGAAGUGAGCAGUCAAGGAUAUUUUGGUCAUUUCUCAACCUACACAGAUCCAAAUAUGGUGAUUCUUGAUGCAUUGGAAAGAUAACUCAAAGGGCUACAAGUUUUAUGUUUUGGUCAAGAGCUAAAUCAUCUUUUAUCAUCAAGAAAAGUUCAGUUGAAGUUGACGCAAAAUCGGAGCAGAGCUGGAAAUUGAACAAAAGUGUACCAAAAUGUCACUGUAGCAAUCCGGUCGGAACUUAGCCGGAUUUCUGGCCGGAUUGUGGUCAGAGAAGGCUGCUCUUUACGCGGAAAACUUAUUUUCACCUCCAACAAGUCACAUGCAAUGCCAGACAUGUGAGAACUACUUUGCAGCUGUAAAAGGGUGGUGUAGGCCUCAUUUUCUUGAUUUCUUUCAUCUUUAUAUAGCCAAAACUUGCAAGAUUGAAAGAAGAAUAGAGAGACAUACGGGAGAACUUGGAGAGUGCAGAGAUGUAACUCUUACAUCUUUUGAGUGUUAGAUUAGUUUUAAUAUAGAUUAGUAUAGUUCAUCCAUUCUUGUAUAUUGGCUAGACUAGGAUGAAGAUGGAAAUGAAGAAGGAGGAGUUGAAGCUCAAGUGACAUGGGUUAUCUCUUCUCCAACUCUUUAUUUUUUGUACUUGAUUCCAAGUUUAGUUAAUAUGCAAAUUCUGGAUUUUGUGUUUAAUAUGUGUCUCUAAAGUUUAUGCCUUGGGUUUGGUUGAACUUUCUAUAAUUGUUAGUGUUUAUUAUUUGAUUAUUUGAUUGCUAUGCUUUGAGCAAGUUAUUUAGCACUUUGACUCUUUAAAUCAUGAUUAAUUUGGUCCCAUUAAUUGUGAUUAUCUAAGGUGUUGUUUCUGCAAUGAAAAUUAAGAUUUAAUACUACUAGUUCAAGAAGUGCUAAACAUAGGGAGUACACUAACGAAAGUAGAGGUGCACCUAUGUGGUUUUUAGUGAUUCAUUUCAUGUAAUUUCACUAAAGAAAUGAACUUGUAACUAAUUUCAUAACCACGAGAAUAGGUAUGGAUUAGUUAUAAGUAUAAUUGAUUCACUACGAAAGUAAGAUUCAAAUGCAUAAGGAAAUUACACCAUAACUAGCCUAGAUAUAAUACUCAAUGAUCCAAAUAUAGCACUUGCAUGAGUAGUUGGGGAUACCACAAUCUAAGGAGCUUUUAUUUGUUAUUUUGUAUAAUUUCAGUAGGUUAAAUUUGUUAUAAUUCGUUAAUAGUCUAAAUAAUAGAGAAGCUUUAUUAAUACAGGUAAUUGUUCACUCUUUCUCAUGGGAUCGACCCGAUAUAUAUCCUAAACUACUAGUUGACCUAUAUACUUGCAGUGAACGAGUGUAAUUCAGUUUUUAACUUGCGCGUAUAUUAAAAUCCCGUCAGCUUAAGAAGUUCCUUGUUUAAAAUCUUUUCCAUCUCUACAACUGUCCUUGCAGGAAUGUGAUGCAGUGGCAGAAGAUUAUUUCUUUGCAUACCCUGACCAGGUCACCUAAAAUAAAUGUACAGACUGAUUUUUUUGGGGGUUACAAAUUUGUAUAUUAUUUGGUUGAAUGGCUACCCACAUCAAAGUAUUCAGAUAAUAUAAAGUUCAUAAGUUCACAAAAAAUAUCCAAAAGAUUAAGGGAGAAAAAAUAUCCAAAAGAUUAAGGGAGUCAUGGAUUUGAUGAAUGUCUGAUAUGAAUCUUGGGUUGACUUGGUUUAUUAUCAUAUUAAAUUUCACUUUUAGACACUUUCUGCUCUUAAGACCUUCAAAUUUGUUCCAUUUAAAUUCAAUCGAUAAUAUUAUUAACAAGACUAACAGAAUAGGGAUACAGUGCAAAUCAAUAACAAAUUGAUGAAUAAGGUUAGAAAGAGUAAGGGGAUUGUAAUUGGAACAAAAUUAUGCAUUCAUACGUACACAAAGCAUAAAACAUGAUAAUUAUUCAUUGCUGUAAAAAGUGAAAGCGGUGGUAGUUUAACUUAGUAAUUUAACAUUAAACAAGAAAAAGAAGUACAACUUCUGAACAAGUCUUUGGUACAUCACGUUUUGCAGUUACUCAGACACUCAACAACAACUCAACAGUAAAAACAGCAAAAUGUAAAUAGUUAUUAAGCAGGUAGACCCUGCAAGACUCUUCAUUUGAUGAAAAUUCUCCAUGUUCAAAGUUGAGCUAAGCGACUUAUGUCAAUUGGAUAUGCAUCUGAUGACUUUUGAGCCCUGUAUGAUCUUCUCCCAACUAUGAUAUUUGCAGCUUCAGUUGGAUGAAAUGCAUCCCAAAAUAGAUGCUGAUUUCUGUUAGGACAUGGAGUUUGAAAAGGAAGACAUGUUAUCUGGCCAUUGUUUCUCCCAACUCCACAGCAACCUCUAUUUGUCACAGUGAAACCUGCGCAGAAAAUUAAAUAUAAUUCGAAGCCAGCCAGAUGCAUUUUCCAACCCCCUCCAAGAGUUGAAUUUUCGUAGUUAACAUAACAUUUUGAAUUUUUUAAAAUUUUUAUUUGUGAAGUAAAAAAUUGCAUCAACUCAAACAAUAAAUGUGCAAAUAAAUUUCUAGGAGAAAUGGCAUGGAAGUUACCAAAAGCAGAGGGACUGCUGAUUAAAUCCUGGAAAAUCCCAUAAGCAUCAAUGUAGAUAAAUCUUGCAUCAGUGAAUUGAUUGUUCAAGGUGUCCACUAAAGACUUAAGUUUGCUAUUGAACAUCUGAUUUGCCGAGUUGAUUCUGGCCACACAAGUUCUGCCAUCAGGGCUAUUUUGGGCUAAUUCAUUUGGACUGCAUCCAAUUUGACCCACUCCGAUCAAAACAAGCUUCCUUGCUCCAAGGUUAUACAAUCUCUAUCGACAAUCAUAAACAUCAAAAUGUCAAACUUAGAACUUUAGAAAGAAAAAAAAAUUAAAGGAACAGUUCUAUUCUAUGAAAUAUGAAUAGGGCUUGUAAAGAACUUUAAGAGGAAAAAAAAAGAAGAAGGAAAUACAUGAAAGAGUAAUUAAAUGAAAGAAAAGAUCGAUAAAGGAAAAACCAACAAGAACUUUUAAAAGUUAGAACUGCUUCUCGAUCAUUUAUUUUCCCUUUUUAGUAAAUUAAAACAAACAGGUGGCUAAGCAGACUGCGUUUAAGUUAUUUUAUUUGAUUCUAUUUUUCUGUUUGUUAUUCUUCAUAGUGCUUUAAAAGAUUUGUUCACAGUUCCUCAUUUCCAGCUCAUAAUUAAUAUCACCUAAACUAUUGUCCUUCUGCCCAAGUCAAAAGGGAGGUCGGUCGACUGGUACAACAUUGGAAAAAACACCCUUAGAAUACGCCUAAGCAAUAAAUACAACUAGCUUUUGUUCAAAGAGGCAGAGACUUCUGAAACAAAUUGUGCGUGAAAUUGUCCAAGAAAUUAAUUCCUCAUGCCGUCACGCAUAGUAGCUUUUGCUACAGCAUGAUGAUCAGAAGUCGAAGGAGACUAGAAGAGUGCAAUUACAUCUCUAAGCAUGACAUAAUGUACAUUUGCCUUUUCAUUUCUUUGCCUUUUCAUUUCUUUCUGUCCUCUUGCCUUUUUUUUUUUUUUCCCCUUCUUCAUUUAUCUCCGUAUAAACAUAGAGUUACUUAAAUUCUCUACCCAAGCAUGCAUCAGCAAAUUUUUUCUCUAUCUCAUCACAUGAUAUGAUAUAUGAAUGGGAUAAUUAAAAAUUUUAGUCAUGGAAAAAUAUGAGUGUCUCACCCUUAUUUGUUGAGAAUACUGGCCAAUAAGAGCAUUAGCAAAUUGCUCAGGUGUGAAUUGUCUGCUGCUUGAGUAGAAUAGAGGCAUGAAAUAAUUGUUAAGAUAGUCAUUGCUGCCAAGUCCAACUGAAUAUAUGCAUUUGCUAAGGUAAGCUGCAGCACGGUUUUGGUCUCCAAGUAAGCUCACAAUUUGAGAAACUGUGCUGUUGUAAUUAUUCACCUGCCCAGUAAAACUAGUUCUGGCACCCUAUGUGAGAGAAUUCAUCAGCACCUUCAUAUGCAUGUAGACCAAAAAAAAAUAUAAUGUAGUUGUCAAAAACAAAGUAAUCUUUUGUAGUAUUACCAAUUGCUGGCCAGUUUCUUCUCUAAUUCCAGCAGCAGCUGAAGCAUAAUUUACUCCUUUGAGUAUGUCUUGGCCCUGGGCUCUUGUGAAGGGUUGAAUAUAUCCAUUGAAUCCCAGUAGCUCAGCUGAUGAUGAAGCAAACACAUUGAUUAGGAAUAAUCAAAAUGAAAAUAACACAUAAAUUAAAAUAUACGUGUGUGUAGAUUAAUACAUGUGUGUGUAUAUAAAAAAAAUGUUAUUUGCAUUCCUAUUUUUUGUUAAUCACACUCUCACUAUCAUUUUAAUCAUAUAACUUUCAUUUAUUAAACUAUAUGAUAAAAUAAAUAAAUAAAAAUUGGGUGUAAUGUGUGUGUGUGUGUGUGAGUGACGGAACUAAAAAAAAAAUUAACUAGUAUACAAAAUCGAUAUUGAAAAAAAAAAAAACCUUUAUACUGCUACGAGAAUUACCCAACAUCACUCUAUAUGCAGUAUGUUUCCAAACUUUACUUGCUAGCCAGAUAUUGCAGUAUCUCGAAAGCGUUCUUGCCAAUGCGGAAAAUAUACGUAGUAAAAUAUAGUAUUACGUGAGACCAUAAAGCGAAUACUUUCUUUGACAUGCAAUUAGUAAACAAUGAAGAACAUGUAGUCAUUAACCGCAUGAAAAUGAUAGUCAAGAGAAUAUGCACAAAAGCAGCUCAUCAUUAGAUGUGACAAGUUCUACGGAUAUUUGCUAAUUCUUCGAAUAUAUAUGUUAUGACUGCAUAUUCAUGGUAAUCUUAUUUUUAAUAUUGUCAAUAUGAAGUUGACCUAAUUUCAGAAUUAGGAAGCUGAUAAAUAUUAGUACCUUUUAAAUAAAGAGAAAGUAUAGAUAUAUACGACCAAUCAAGCAACAAAUUAGUGAGAAAGUAAUAGAGAGGGGGUUCAAAACUCACUUAUAACAUCAACGGUAGUUUUUCCAUUACAAAACCUUCCAGUUGGUCCACCAGGAAAAUCGAUUCCAUAGGGCAAGUAAUUAGCUUUAGCCAAAGAAUUGAUAUUGUUGUUGUUACCAUUGUCCACCAGGGAAUCUCCAAAAAUAAAGUAACAUGGAACCUGGGGCUGUGCUAAAACCCCGUUCGGCACCGCCACCACCACCAUCACAACAAACCCCACCAAGAAUUUCUUGAACUCGGCCCCCAUUUGCAACAUAUUUUAGAAUAAAACAAAAGGGAGUUGAAAGAAUUUUGUAGCUAAAAAAAAAAGGGGCUAGUACUAAAAGGUGGUGGACUCCUUUUAGCUAUUGAGUGAUGAAAUUCUAGGAGCAUCGAGUGUGUUAUUUAUACACAUAUUUUAAGGUCAGACUUGAAAGGCUUGGCAAACAAUUAAUAGGUGUGCAGCAAUUGGUUCUGGGAGUCAAUCAAUCAAGCAAUUAGUAACUUUUAUGGGUGAGAAGUAACGGUGCAUUAAAUUUAACGCGGACAGACUUUGAGUUUCUUUACAGUUUACACUGAAGUCCAAACAGAGUUUGUUUGAAAUGGUCGUCAAUUUGACAAUCGCCCUUUUUGUCUGCACCGAUUGCGAGCGCCAAAGAAGUCGGUACAAGCAUACUUAUAAAGUCCCUCCCGGUCGAGUCGGCCAACCCGAUUUAUCCGGUAGGAUCGAAUUGAUCACUAAUUAGGUGAGUUAAGCAAUAGAUUCAUCUGAUCAACGAUUCAGCGGUUGGAUCACCGAUUUAAAAUAUUGAUUAUUUUUAUAAUUUAAAAUAUAUUAUUAUAUUUUAUAAUAUAACUGUUGUGCAACCUGCGAUUGAACUGGUGAUCCAAACACCUCUUCGGAUCGGGUUUUAAGUCGGGUUUAAGAGUACAAGGUCCAUUUUUCCAAAGAAGUUUUAUCGUUUUGGGCCUCGUUUGUUAGUUUAGCCGAGAGAGAGAGAGCUUAAAUUGCGAGAUAAAUAUAAUUUGACUUUGAAUUAUUCCGAUCAGAGUUAAUCUACUUAAAUUGUUUGGGACAUUUGCAGAGAGAAAUUAAUUUGAAUUUAUGAGUAUUACAGUUUUCUUCUUGAAAGUUUUAUGGACAAGGUAACUUUUCUUUCAUUUCUCUUCAUUUGGCAAAAGACGUUUUUAGUCAUUUUUGCAUUCCAUUUCUUCCUAUACUCUAGAAUAUUUACUUUAUUUUGUGCUUCCAACUAGUGUAGGAUAAAAUUUCACUAUCAUUAAUUAUAGAUGCACUCUUACUUUAUAGGUGACACAUUAAUUCUUAAAGUAUAAAAUCCAUCCCACUUUGAUUAUUAAACUUUGAGCAUCACUUGCCUACUAUUAUGUUAGCUAGUUUUGACAAUCGGUUACAUAUUUUAAGGGAUAAAAUAUCCAAAGUUGAAGUUUAAGAACUAAACUCCGAUUAUACACUUCAGAAAGUAAAGAGCUCAAAAUUAAAACUAACUUAAAAAUUAAAGUGGGCCGGGAGUGCAUCGAUAGCUUAAAAUUGAUCCAGAUGAGCUGAAUUAAGGGGAUGUUCGGAUCCCGUUAAAUUAGUUCCAGUCAUGAUCAGUGAAAGCCUUUUCUAGUUUCUGCUGCAUGUACCAUAUUGAGAUAAAUCCUAGUGACCCUAUACGAAUUGUUUGAUAAUUUCUGAAUAAACUCUUUACUCGUUUCCUUCCGGAGAAAAAGGUUUGCUGCAUCUGUUCGUAAAAUAAAAAUCAUUUGGAUUUGUCUUGUAUUCAAGAUAAUUUAAAACGAACACAUUUAUGUUUACUUGCAAAAUUAAAAACAAUUUCUCACUUCUCCAGUUCACAAGGAAAGACAAACAAAACAGAAACGACUUAAAAUUCACAAUCACAAAUAAAAAAGACUUGAAUAAUCAGACUGAUGGGUCUAGUUUGCACGAGGAGCUUUGAGCACUACAUUUUAUAAACAUCUAAGAAUACGUAUCGAAAUCCAAUCUGAUGCUUCGUCGGUCAUAAUUCAUAAGUCGCCAAGUAUCUAAUUCCCAUCAAAGCAGCAGCCAAAUUCCUGGUUGAACUUUGGACUUGAUUUCCGAAUAAGGUUGUUAAACUUGGACCAGUAAGUGAUCAGCUAAUGGAAUAUCGAGUCGAUCGUGACAUUAACCAGUUCAACCAAUUAAACUGGUUGAGUUACCGCUCCACCUUUUUUUUAAUGUAUUUUAAUAUUUGUUGUCCAUGGAUUUUUCUCAAAUGAUAUAAUGUUGGACAACAGAUUACUUAAACUACAAAAAUGUAUAAGCUAAGCCUCAAAUUUACCUAGUACUAAUUAACAAAACAUAGAAUAUUAAUGUAAUUAACUAAAGAAAACUAAGCAAUUUCGAAAGUAGCACUGAUCAAUUAUUAACAAAAACAUAUAUUUGUAUCAUACAUCGUAUACAGGCAAAACUUGAAGGUCUAAUAAAUUAACAUGGUGAAAGAAAUAGUUCAAAAUUGGGGAUUUAUCAUUUAAUACAAAUAGGACCAAAUAAAUCAUAUUUUUGCAAUGCCAAUGACGUGAGAAGUUUAAAGUUGACACCAAAUGAGUCUUGGAAUAGCCAAAAAAAAAUAAUGAUGAGAGUCCAAAAUUCUAUUGUUAAAAUUUAGAUGAUUUCAUUUCAAAUUACAGUUUUAUCAAACGCACCCUAAAUUCUAUUCAAUUUUCCGCUGCAGAGCACAUAAUUGUAUGUGUACAAAGUUGUUAAGGAUAUCAUCUCUACAUACGGUGUGAACUAUGUGUAGAGGUUUGAUGUGAUAGUGCUUGGCGUUUGAUUUUAAGAUCGACGUAAUACUUGAAUUUUUGGAUUUCAGUCCUUUCUGAUAAUAAGUAAUGACUAGCAUAUAUUCAAAUACGUCUAGAAAUUAGGCGCACAGAUUCUUAUACAUCAUAGUCUAGAUUUUUAAAUGUGCUGCUUUGAAAUUUGAAAGAACAAAUUCAACAUUUUCCUAAAACUGUAAGAAUGUCAUGGCGACAGUAGACACUAGCCCUUUUAACACUAAGCACUUUUGUUAUAGUUAAGUUUAGAAUGACAUGGAAAACGAUGUAGUUAGAGUAUUUCAAAUUUAUGGGAUUUGAAUAAUUUUCUUCCGAAAAGGAUCAAAUGUAUGGGACAAGUGUUGAGUUGUAGAAAAAUAUAUUUAUGACUUAAAAAUACAUUUUUAUAACCAACAAUUACAAGGAAAGCCUUAAGCUAGAGCAGUAGUAUGGCAUCAAUCUUGCAAGCCAUAACAUCAAGAGGUAGAAAUACAAUAGUGAAAAGAAAGAUUUAAGCAUUGUCUCAAUCAUCUCUUUUGACUCUAAUUUAAUUGAAGUUUACAUCUUCAAAGUUGAGCUAAGCGACUUAUGUCAAUUGGAUAUGCAUCUGAUGACUUUUGAGCCCUGUACGCUCUUCUUCCAACUAUGGUAUUGGCAGCUUCAGUUGGAUGAAAAGCAUCCCAAAACAGAUAUUGAUUUCUAUUUCGACAUGGAGUUUGUAAAGGAAGACAUGUUAUUUGGCCAUUGUUUCUUCCAACACCACAGCAACCUCUAUUUGUCACAGUGAAACCUACACCAGGAAAAAAAAGGGCGAAAAUACAGCAAUGUCAAUUACAAAUAUAUACUUUGAACCAUUUUUGCAAUAUUUCAAAAAUUCUGCUAGUUGACUCUUUUUGGUCAAAAACGAAAACACUAAUAAUCACCAAAUUUUUUUCCAUUGAAAUUUGCAAGACCAUUUAAUACGAGGCUCAAAUUUUUUAUCAAGGGCAUCACAAGUUGAGUUUUGUGUUGUUCAAACCGAUUCAUGUAAUUAUUACUAUAUUUAAUAAAAAUUUGAACAGUUGUUGUAUAAUCGCAAACAUAGUCGUAUGUAUUCAAAAGUUCGAGUUUAAGCCCAAUUGUAUGAGUUUACACCAAAAGCUGUGAGAAUUACAUGAAUUGAGUUAAACUGGAUAGAAUUCAACUUGUGAGGCCCUAAUCCUCAAACUUUAGGUUUGAAAUUGCAAUUUUCUCUUUUAAACUACAUCCUUAAUAGUUAAUUUUGGGAAGUAAUGUGUACAAUACCAAAGCUACCAUCUACUUUCAUAAAUGCUUGAGACCAAUAUCAGCACGAAGCAUUGAAGUAAAGAAUGAUGAUGCUGAGAAAACUGCAAUAAUAAUUUCAGAAACUGUAAGGAGGCUCAUGACCACAAAUCUCAUGAAAGAUUAAAAGUUACCAUUCUUUGUCUUCGUUGACAUCAUUUCAUAAAUGGAAAUUACUCUAUCUAGCAAAGGACAAUCAGAAAAAUAUCAUUUUCUAGGAAAAAUGGCAGGAGAAGUUACCAUAAGAAGAGGGACUGUUGAGUAUAUCCUGGAAAAUGCCAUAAGAAUCGAUGUAGAUAAAUCUUGCAUCGGUGAACUGGUUGUUCAAGGUGUCCACCAAUGCCUUGAGUUGGUUAUUGAACAACUGAUUGGCAUUAUUGAUUCUUGCCACACAGGUCCUGCCAUCUGGGCUAUUUUGGGCCAAUGCAUUUGGGCUGCAGCCAAUUUGACCCACUCCAAGUAGAACAAGCUUCCUUGCUCCGUAGUUGUACAUUAUCUGCCGUCACACGUGUGUCAAAAUUUGGGAAAGCACAUUCAAAAAAUUGGGGGAAAAAAGUGGUUACUACUCUCUUUUUAACUAAAUUUGAUCUACUGCAUUUUUCCUAUUAGUCAUUAAAGUAAUUAAUGAUAAAUUUAAAAGUAAUUUCCUGCCUCACUUUUUGGUUUUACUUUUUCUGUUGGCCAUAAAAAAAAUAGUCUUUUCCAAAAAAAAAAAAAGAGAUUAAAAGAAAAAGAAAAGAGUGGUAUUGAAAAAUACCAAAAUUUUGGUAUUAUUUUACACUAUAUUCUUAACUAAACUAGUCUUUGCCCUCUCUUUUUUCUGAGAGAACUCAGCCCUCCCAUUUUUACAGUUAUCUAAUUUUUUCCCCCAAGUUUUUAAUUUUUCGCUUCUUGCAAAAAACGUAUGCGUUAUUUCUUUCAUGGUGCUUAUAUGCAUAAUGGUUAUCCAAAAAAAAAGUAAGAUACAUGCAACCUUUCUCUACUUUUUGCCAAAUUAUCAUGGUAAUUAAAGAAACAAAUGAUAGAUGCACAUGUAAGGGAACCUACUGUUGAAUAAGAAGCUGAGCAAAUUGAAAUGAGAUUCAUUCACUUACCCUUAUUUGCUCAGCAUACUGUUGAAUCAGAACCUGAGCAUAUUGCUCAGGUGUAUACUGCCUGCUAGUUGGGUAUAUAAGAGGCAUGAAAUAAUUGUUGAGGUAGUCAUUGCUUCCGAGUCCAACUGAAAAUAUGCACUGGCUUAGGUAAUCUGCAGCAGCAUUUUCAUCUCCCAGUAUGUUCACAAUUGCUCUCACUGUGUUUAUGUAGUUCCUCACUUGUCCAGAAAAGCUUAUCCUUUGACCCUAGUUAUAUUAGAAAAAUGGUUUGAUUGAAAAAGGGAAGCCAUAUUUCAUAUGGUAUUUGAUUAAUCAACAAAGGCAAAAAAAUUGGAAAAUUUUUGAAAAAUGGUUAGUUUAGUACCAACUGCCUUCCAGUUUCCUCUCUAAUUCCAGCAGCUGCAGAAGCAUAAUUUACUCCUCUGAGUAUGUCUUGGCCACGAACUCUUGAAUAAGGUGGAAUAUAACGGUCGAAGCCCAAUUCCUCAGCUGCAUGCGCAUAGAAAUAAAAAAAAAAAGAUAUUAGUCAGACAAUUUUUAUGAAUAUCAAAAGACAGAUUCACAAACAUAUGGAACAACAUCCCAUCUUUACAACAUCUAUGAAAUGUCUAGAGGAUUUUUUUUUUUUUUUUUUAGUUUUAUUCAUAGGCAGAAUUAUAAAAUUUCUUCUGAGGGAGUGAACUUUAAAUCAACUAAUCUUUAAUUUGAAAUAUUUUUAAUUUUUCGUGGGGGCAAAAGUUUAACUAUACAUAAAAUUUUAAAAAAAUUCAACUUUUCAAGAGAGAAAAAAAAUUAAUUUUUCAAAACUUUCUUGAGAGAAAGGAUUUUUGGUUGGGGGGGGGGGGGGGGGGGGGGUAGGUGUAGGAACCGCUUCCCGCCACUCCCUAGUUUCGCUCAUGAUUGUACUAUUAUGGAUCUUCUGGUCCAAAAUUUACUUGGUAGAUUAGUGAAGUAAGCAAUUGAUUGCAUGACACGGUACAUAGUGCCAUUUACAUUUAAUGAUGAGAAAGGCAUAGAUUGAAUUAAAUGUUGACAUGAUUACGUGGAUGAAUAGGUUUAAUGACUGCCUCGAGAUGCAAUUGGAUAAUAAAAGUAGAACAUGCAGACAGCAGUCAUGCACUGUUCGAAUGGAUGCAAGAGACUGUGAGUGACACUGAAGGAGCUCGUGAAAUAUUAGAAGAAAUCUUGUUUUUUUUUUAAAAAAAAAAAAAAUUUUUUUUGUGGCUAUUUAUUGGGGAUACUAAUAUAGAUCUCAUGACAUGCAAUUAUUAUAGGGCAUCAAAAUAAUGACAAAUCUCAUUCUAGACUUUUCUCAUGGUAUAUAGUAGAAAGAUGCUACAUUAGGGAGGGAGUCAAAAAAUUUGAAUCGAAGAAAUUUAAGAAAGGAUGUUUGCUCGGUAGAGAUAAGGAUUGGAAAUGCCUACAAGUUUGAGAUUAGGGGAAAAAACAAUGACGUUAUGCUUGGGAGGUUAAGCACACAAUUUAAUUGUUAGUAGUAAUAUAUUUGGAUUAAAAGUGUUUGUAAUUAAACUCUCAAAAUCACAGAUCGAGCAUGUAACUUACUACUCACUGGACAUGUUACAUAGAACUUACCAAAGGAACUAAUGAAUAUACUUGCUUAAUUAGGACAUAUAGUAGACAAUGCGCGCAAAACAAGUGAAGUGACGGAGAGAGUAAGAAGAGAGAAAUUAAGGAAAAUAAUGGUUGAGAACUCACUUAUGACAUCUACCGUGGUUUUCCCAUUAGAAAACCUUCCCGUUGGUCCGCGGGGAAAAUCAAUUCCAUAAGGCAAGUAAUUGGCUUUAGCCAAGGAGUUGAGGUUGUUGUUGUUACCAUUGUCCACUAGGGAAUCACCGAAAAUGAAGUAACAUGGGACUUGGGGUUGUGCCAAUACCCCAUUCUCAACAUUCAGCAGCAGCACCAACACCACUACAAACACCAAGGACAACUUCUUGCAUUCGCCCCUCAUUAUUGCGCAAAAUUGUGAGGAAAUUUUUUUCAAAAGGGUUUCAAGGAAUUUUGCAGAAAAUAGUGGUAAGUCCUUAAUUCCUAGGACGACACAGUUCACAGUAGGAUGCUUUGUGGCUGAGUGACGAGCUUGCCAGGAUGAAUUGUGCUAUAUAUAUACACACACACCAAUUGGAAGAAGAUAAGAGUGGGACAAACAAAUAAAAAGGGGUGCACCAAUUGAUAUGGGAGUCAUUGGUUCAGAAAUUGACUUUAUGGAUGAGAAGGCAGUGAAGGUUGCAUUUAAUUCACGCGGAUACAGUAUGAGGUUCCAUGUAUUGAUGUUGUCUUUCUAAACUGUGAAAACAAAUCGAAAUGCCUGCAAAGCCAUUGUGAUCUGAUUGCUACGCACCAAAUUGUAGGAGUACAAAGAUUAAGUCUACUGGGCAUUUUAAAAAAAAAAAAUGAAAUGAGAUGAAUCUGCAUGGAUAUAUCUCAAUCCGACUUAAUCUCCAUCCAAAAUUUGAAGGUCUGAUCUCAAGUUUUCAUGCAAAGAGAAUAUUUGCAUUAAAACAAGGUCUAAGUACGUGAAAGACUGAAGAUAAGUGGAGGUUUGGAAGAAAAUAACACUUGCUGGUUUAAAUGAUUAUUCCCGAUUUUGAGCAACUUUAGCGGUAUAGCUAAUGUUUUCGAAUACUCCAGAUGUAAUUCGUUAUCUUAUAUUAAAACGUCGGAAACAAUGUCCUUGCUUGGUUUUCUGUUCUUUUUUCACCAUUUUAAAACAAGAUAUUAUGUAGUGGACAAACUUCUUCUCCCUUUUUCCUACAAGUAAUAAAAAUUAUUUUAGAGAAUAUGGUAAGAUCCCAAAAAAAAAAAAAAGAUAUGCCAAGAUCAGAUUAAUCAAGACAUUUUUUCCCAAAAACUUUUUAUAUUUUUCAUAACAAUCACUUUUUAUUUCAAAUUAUUACAGUGCAUAUUUCUAUCAAAACUCCAACAAAGAGCAAUCCAAAUGGAUAUCCUAAAAUGCAUGGUUGACCAUAUGAACAGAUAUCAAAUUAGGAAAAUAGCCACAUAUACUUUGACUCGGCCUUUAUCACCAAUUAGAGAUAACAAGCGGUUGGCUAUUUCAACGUCGUUGAAAGCAUGCAAUUGGUUUCGUACUUUCGUUUAUGAAGAUGACUUCUGUCAAUUUGACAUUUUAGUCCAGUGUAUGGGAAUCGAAAGUCGUGUAUAGCUAUUAAGGGAUUAGAAGAAUUAUGUAAAAAAAAUAAAUAAACCACUGAGAGCUAAACCAUAAUUAAUCCAGCAAUUUAACUGAGAAUGCAUAGGUUACUUCACCUCGAUUUGUACAGGAUAUAUCAUCCAAAUAUGAUCAUUUUUUGUCGCUUUACCUAAGCACAUAGGUUAAAAAUAGUGCAUUAACUUCCCACAAAAAGAAAAGAAAAAAAAACCCGUAGUUCACUCACCGACCAUGUAUGUGUGCUUUUUUCCCAGAAUUGACUACAAUUAUUAUUAGUUUGAACAUUCUGGAAGCGAACUCCCUCGAGAAUGAUGCAUUUUAGCCUCGGUCAAUAACCGUACGUUUACUACUUUGUGGAGCAUGUAAAAAAGAAAAAAAAAAAAGAGGAUACAAACUUGAAAAGAUCUUUUCUAAUGUUACUCGGACGAGUGCCUAUUAGUACACCUAAAUGAUACGUUAUUUAUUAUUAUAUAAAUACACAUACUAAUAUUUAUUACGCUCCUAUAUUUAAAUACUUUACUUAAUUAACUUCACUUUUGUGGAAGAAAUAAGAAUUAGUAUGUGAGAAAUCUCUUGAUAAGAUUCUGCCGACAUCGGUUUGCCAAACCCUACUUGAAAUUCCUUCCAAAAAAAAAAAAAAAAAUCCUACUUGAAAUAGGAUUCCAUACUAAUCCAUUUCAUAAAUGACAUGGUGGCUCCACAAAUCCUUUUCCUAACUGUAUGUUAAUUAAGGUGAUAUGUAAACAUGCAUGUGAUACCUUUAAUCAUGCGUCUUCUGGGAUCAACUGAACAAUUUCAACUCCAAGAAAGUGAUGAAUAAGGCACAAUUUGGUGAAGAUUGAAAGGUUCAACUUUAACUUUAGUAGUUGUGGACUCAGCAGUCCAUUUCUUUACUAAUAAUGCUCUUGUGGAAGCCAUCACAAGUUCACAACAUUAAUUUCUGAAAGAGAUAUGCUAUAAUUAUAUGAAAUGAAAAAGAUAAUGACUCCAUUUAUUGCGUGGACAGAGUCUUACCAAGUAACGUGGUGGGUCGGCAAAAGCUUAUAAUAAAUCACGGGCUGCAAUCAAUACGUUUCCAUCACCAUUAAUUACUCAGAGUUGUUAAGGGUAUUAAAUUAACAAUUUUCAGUUAGUAUAUUUUCAGAAGAAUAACGAUACACAAUUCGAAAAUUCUCGAUUAAUUCAUCUUAUGUUGGAUAUAUAUAACGUUCUAACGUGAAUAUAAAACCUACAAAUUUAUAAGAUAUCUAGAUUUAAAAGGUAUUUCCGCCCCUAUGCAUUAAUUAUUAGUAAAGAUUUCCGCGAUUAGAGUUUCAAAAUUCUAACUGUAUAUUACCAUUCUUCUUAGGAAAAAAAAAUAGGGAGAGAAAAAAGAAAAGCUGCCAUUAUGGUGUGCCGUUGGGUUGGGCUUGAUCUUAUCAUUUUAUUUCCCUACAAUUUUUUUUUUUUUUUAAAAAAAAGGACAUAUAUCUUACCUCCAUCGUCUCCAUCAAAUGUAGAAACAAGUUCGAUUUGACAGUUUGUUAAGCUAGGAAAAGAGCGUCUGUGCAACAUGGGAUCUUUAGAUAUUCUGGAUUAAAGUGUUUAAUUGGAAGUUAAAAUUUGUCAUACAUCAAAACCUUUUAAUGAAAUUUAUAGAAGUGUAUCUGCCAAUUAAAAUUUAACCAAUUAAAAGAAAAAUGGUGUUGCAUCUUGGUCCUAAAUUGGGUAUGGCAAGUUUCCCCAUACAUCCGUUAGAAAAAAAUCCUCAACCACUUUUUCAUUAGUUUAAGUACUUUUAUUCAUAUUUAAUUAUGUUAAAUAUGAACAUUGCCUGACGGCUUUGUUUGGAUUGUGAAUUAUUUACCAAAUUAUAUCUGCUUACAUCAUCAUUACAAUUUCCAACGCACCUUUUUAGCUUCUCAAUUACCUUUUUAUCUCACAUACAUCACAUCACAAAAAGUGCUACAGUAAAAAUAUCUCAAAUAAUUCACAAUCCAAACAAACCUAUAUGUGUAAUGUCGACUACCAUUUUGAGUUCCCUGUUGCCUUAGUCGUUCUGUCUACAAGAUUGUGUAAUGUCAACUCUGAGAUUAGUCAAUUCUGAAAUUGUGAAGCAGUCUUACCCUCUCUAGAAGCUUAUUUUAGGAUUAUAAAUUUCCUGUUUCCUUUUUUUUUGCCCUUUUGUUUAUAGGUUGCCAUUUUACUUUUUGAGUGUUUCCGGUAUUUAUAUAAACAUAAACUUCAAAUAUGUGAAAGCCAACAUCAGGUUUUUCAUGUUCUUUUCGGAUCGACAAGAACACAUGAUCGAAUCUAGGCCUGUCAACGGGUCGAGUUUAGACCCGGAUCCGGACCGAAUCCGUGAAAUUAUUGCGGGUAUGGGUAGGGAUUUAAUUCCGUUUUCCGGACCCGAAUCCGGAUCCGUUUUGUCAAACAAAAAAACGGGUCGGAUACGGAAUAUAGUAUUCCGACCCGUAUUAGACCCGGAUCCGGAUAUAAAUGAAUUAAUAAUUUAAAAAAUAUAUAUUUAUCAAUAUAAUUUGAUUAGGGUGAUGUAUUUGAGUAAAGUCAAUUUGAUUUCUUUUCUUAUUUGAUUUUUUCUUUGCAUUAGUUAGAAAUUAGUUUACAAAUAUAUUUUUUUUCUCAUUUUUAUUAGAAUUUAUAAAUUUUGCUAAAUUUGCGCGGAUAGACCCGACCCGGAUCCGGGACCCGCCGGAUCCCGGAUCCGGAACAUAAAAUAAAAGAUCCGUCGGGUAAACGGGUCGGAUCCGGUUCCGGUAUAGUAAUUCGGGUCCGGAAUAAUGAAUUCCGGCCUGGACCCGGCCCGUUGACACCCAUAAAUCGAAUCCCACUACUAUACAUCAAUGUUUAUUACGAAAAGAUCAGCUGAAGCAAACUUGUAUUUGUUACAACGAAUUAAAUUGAAAGAAGAAUUCUCACAAUUUAAUCCAUGAAGCAAAAUCCUAAUUAGUAAACUACAAAAUUAAUCGAGUCAAAUAAAUUGCAAAAUUACAAAUAAGAAUAAUUGUAAAAACUGAACGGUUUUUUGUCCUUGCUGCUACGAUCUUUAUAGUACUAAAUUUUUAGAUCACGUAUGAGAACAGACUAUAAUUGAUGAUGAUGACUGUGUAAUCAAAACGGCAGUAUAUUUUUUAGACCAACGUAAUUUGGUUGCCGACCAGUUUGGUCGUUUAACAUUUUAACCGAUUUGGACAACAGAAACCUAACUACAUGGAGUAUUUAUCAAUAAUAUUAUGUCCUCGUCAAUUAAUCAAAAUUAGAAAUCUACUAAGUGGAAUUACCAAAUGAAUAAAAUUGAAAUUAAACACAAGAUUACAAGGGAACAAAUUGAUCCCAAAUUUAGUGCGGAAGGUAUGAAAUAAGGAUCAUCCAUAAUGAACAUUAGGAGAAUAAGAUAAACUUGGGUGGGCAAUAACUCUCGUGAUGCAACCACAAAGUUUAUAGUUUGACCUGUGUUUUUCAGUUUAAAAAUGGAACUAUUACGUGUGGACGGCUACGAGGAGUCUUGUCCUAACAGCUAUAUCUUGCACCGACAUAAAUAAAUGGAGUUGUAGCAAAUAUAGGGAAUAUGCUCCAUAAAUCCCUGGUAAGUUUCAUUCACAACCAUACUAGUAUUAGAAUGCAUUGUUUUAUUUCUUAGUAUCUAUCUAACGGGCGCUCAUUGAACAUUCUUUAAAAUGUAUUUUAAGUGUUCAAUUUUUCUUUUUUAAAAAAAGUAAAUUUUAUUAUACAAAAGUAUAUAAAUAUAAAAAAAUAAUUAUUAUUAGUACGUGUAUAUACAUAAUAAACUUGGUGUGAUUCGCAUGCGUUAACGAGUAUUCAUUGGAUAUCCGUUAAAAAAAACUAUUUAUUAUACAAGUCUAUGAGUCAAAUCGAAAUAUGUGGAGCAUUUAUUGUACAAAGUGCUGCCAACUUGACAUGGAUAAAUGAAAGAUAAAAUUGAUAAGAUGAGUUAUCACACUAUUGUAUCAUUUAUGGAGCAUUUCCUUUUUCUUGAAGCUGGUAGAAUUAAAUUUGAGUAGUAGAAUUAAAUUGAGUAGUUGAAGUAAAACACUAGCAAAAACUCCGACGGAACCAGUCAACUACAAAAAUGAGUUGACUCAACCUGGAGUCAAAAUGGAUGCUAGGUCCCUUAAGGGGCAAGAUUUUUUUUUUUUUUUUUCCAAGAAAAACCUUUUGCGGCUCAAUUUUACGCCGCAAUAGUCAAUGGCCAAUUUGGACUGCUAAUCGAACUAAGCAAUUGCACCGACCUCGAAUCGUCCAUUUAUUUCAUGUGUGUGAGUUCAUGCGGUUGCUCCUUUGUUAUUGGAAUUAUCCAAUUUUCAGUUGUCUUCACACGAUGGAACUCCUCCCUCCGUACCAAAUUGGGAGUUCAACUAUUGCCUACUGUAAAUCCUUGUGGUUUGGAUUCUCUCCCUGUCUUAGUUGGGUCUUUUCCUUCCCUCGUACUCACAAAAAAGUAUGCUAAUAUUAUUUGCAAUUUGACACAAAAAAUUUUGAGCAAUUUACAAUCCAUGUUACAAUCUAAGGGUGGUGAUAUAAGUAGUAACAAUGACCUUGCACGUAGAUCCUUGUACCACAUUAGUUCUUUCAAUUUUGCGGCUAAUUUGGUGUGGAGUACAUUGGCAUCCUUUGCUUGCUAUCGAUAAUAAAGACUGACAAAUCUAACAACAUAAGAAUAAAAGCAGAGAAUGGCAUCUAAUAUAUCUGAAUUUGAGAUGGAUUCUGAAGAAAGGUUUUGUAUUUAAAGCUUAUACAACAUCCCUGCCUGAAAAAACAAUUUUGCACAUAGUGCAUUAGGAAAAUGUAAUGGUGGGCACAAUUUACUAGUCGUCUGGUACAUAUGGUCCAAAUAAAGAGAAUUUACAGCCUUAGACUUGGAUAUUACAAGUGGUGCUAUCGAGCCGAGUCAAGCUCCAGUAGUACCAUACUCGAGCUCGAACUCGAUCAAAAUUUGUGCUAUUUGAGCUCGAGCUCGAUCGAGUAAAAAAAUUUGGACUCGAGCUCGACUCAAUGAAAUAAAACUAAACUCGAGCUCGACUCGUUUGAGCUCGAAUAAGCUCGAGUAAAUAUCAAGCCCGAGCUACUCGAGUUCGAGCUCGAGUUUUGAAAUAAAUCUAUAAUUUUUUUAAAAAAAUAUAUAAUAUAUAAUAUAACAUAAAUAUAUAAUAUAAAUAAAAUAUGAAAGCUGAAUUAAGCUCGGCGAGCACUCGAGUACUUAUUUCUUGAACUCGAACUCGACUUGUUAAAUUUAACGAGUAGCUCGAGCUCGAUUUUACCGAGUUCGAGUCAAGCUUUUGAUCAAGCUGACUCGCGAGCAGCUUGACUUGCUAGCAAGGCCCUUCUUGUUUCCUUGUCUUUGCUCCUCUCUGAACAUGAGCAUAUUUUAAAGCAAACUUGAUUUUAUAACUUAAGCAUAUUGAGAAAAGACGUUUAAAGAAUGCAAAGACUAGCUUAACUGAAUUCCAGCCUGUAUAUCUAGUCUAUUCCAAAUGAGCCUAAUCAAGCUUAGUUCUUUUUAUACACAAUCUAAGAAUAACGUAUACGCUUGAAUGAAACACUUGUAGUUUUUCUGUUUUACUCACAAAACCUUUGUUUUUUGUAGGGUUUGAUGAUCGAAUAGUAAUUUGGAGCUAAAUGGAAGAAGUUUGAAGAAACCUUGAAGCGCUCGAGAAGUCACUAGUGUUCGUGGAAGCAGUAGCGCAACAAGAGGAAAAGUGUUAAAGAGUUUGCUCAUGAAAAUUGUUUGAAUCCUGCCAUGGAUUGUUGGAAUGGAUUCAAUCCGUCCAUGGAUUGCAGUGGUAGAAGACUGGAUUCCAUCAGUGAAUUGAAGGUAGAGAGCAAACCAAACGAGCAAGAAACAAGGUAGAAGAAUCCGGCUAUGGAUUGUUUCCAGGUGAGCCAGAUUUCAUGAAUAGAUUUAAGAAUGGUCAAAGCAGAGUUAGAAGAAUCCGGCCACAGAUUAUGUUUAGCUUGGCUGGAUUCCAGGCGGAAGGUGAAAAUUCGUAGAAUAAAAUGGAGCAUGCAAUCAAGCCGAACUGAAAGACACAACGCGUCCGCAGAUUAUGCCCGGAUCCGUAUGCAACAUGCGUAUCUUGCACUUGGGCAUAUGCAACUUGCGUAUCUUGCACUUUCUUUCAUCCAUCUUCAUGGAUAUGAAGGGAUGAUUUUGGCAGAAGAUUGCAGAUAAGAUGCAAAAGUAGAAUCAAUGGUAAUCUAACCCAUUAGGGUUAGAGAAGCUCCAACAAUUACAAGAAUGGAAGAAGUGUAUUUAGCAAACAAGUUUUUCUCUCAAUACUAGGUGGAGAGUGCCCGCGCAUCGCGCGAGUGUUUGGUACCUGUUGUUAGAAAGAAUAUUUUAUUGGACAAAUAAUAGUACAUUCUGUAAAGAAAUAGUCAUCAAAUAUGACAAAUCUAAUAAUAGUACAUUCUAAUUGCAACACACACUUGUACACUUUAUUUUAUCAAUACUUUUACAAUUUUACUAUUUCUAAAAAAAUCCCUACAUAUGUUAUUUGAUAAUCGCCUAAGAACAGACAUAAGUUGUUUCAGACAAAAAAAUAUCCUCCAACGGUUAGUUACAGCAACGUAUUAAUUGCACAAUGUGUUAAUAUAUCUUUGUGUUAAUUGCACAACAAAAGUUACAUUUCAAUUAAAUGUGUUUAUAACACCAUUUCAGUAAUUAAACCAACACAUAAGCUUAUAUGAGUUGUACUCGAUGCAAAAACUGUUGCAAAAUAAUUCCAUAUUCCAAAAAUACCCAGAUAUCUCCAUCAAUCAAAGCUUUAAAUGUACCAAAAUAAAAGCAUUUCGGUAAAUAUACCUAAACACAUGCUGCCUUCAAUUGUAUCAAAAGUUUUUAAAAAAACUACACAAUAAUUCAUAUUUCCAAAAAACCCUAUCCAUGCAGUUGAAAUUCAAACUUCCUUUGACCAAAACUCAUUCUUAUAUAAUAUAAGGAUAAGGAUUUGUCAUCAUGGCCCUGCAAUUCUCCGCAUUUGAUUCAAUUAGUAAUUGUUUUUUUAUAAACAACAUGUAUCCUUUUAACCUAAUAAUAAUUUGCAUAUAUAAUAAUUUGGCAAGUGUAGGGGAAUGUUUUCUCCCCCAUCCCCUCUCUUGCUCCUGACCCAUUGCUCGCUAUGGGAAUAUAUCCAUCGAUUAUGGGUUGUUUGCUAACUAAAUCCAAAAUAUAUUUUAGUUAUAGAGACGAAGAAAGAUUUUGCUAAAUGAGGUACUAUUAGAUUAUGAAGUUUACCGUAUAAAAUGCAUGGGUAUUUAGUAAUAAAAAAUUUAUGUAAAAUUCUAAUGCUGUCAUCCUCUAUCAGUUUUGGUUCUUAGAUGGAUUUUACUGAAUCAAAUAACAUGUGUUGACCAAGAAACUUUAUCACAAAGUCAAUUGGCAUACUGUUAUUGACUCACUUUGCAUUAAUCAUAUGCUAGUAAUCCAUGCAAUAAUAUACAAGUAUUAUAUGUAUAUAUUAUGAUGUGGAGAUUGAUCAACACAUUUUGUAGAGGUGGCAAAUCAACCCAUUUAACUAGAUUUACCCAUACCCGCCCAUGAAUAGAUGGGUAUGGGUAUCUUAAAUUUUUGUAUAUGGGUAUAAAUGGGUUACCCAAUAAUACCCAUUUAUUAAAUGGGUAUUAUUGGGUAACCCAUCAAACCCAAUUAACCCAUUUAAAAUUCUCUUCCCCCCAAGUCUCUUCUUUUCCCCUACCCUUUUUUUUUCAAAUUUUUCAUUUUGUCAUGAUGUUAACAUUAUUAUUAUUAUUAUUAUUAUUAUUUGUUGGUUUUAUCUUAUUAUUUUAUUUUUUCUUAGUUUGUUAACUUGCUCAUUUUUUAGCAUUACCAAUUUAUGAUAAAUUUUAGCCUAUUUUCUUAUCUUUAUAAAAUGAAAUUUUAAAUUUAUAUAUGAAAAAAAUGUUAGGGGUACAAAAUUUUUGGAUUAAUUUUUAUAGUACUUAAUUCAAAUUUUUAUAUUCGUAUUAUUCAAUUAUUAAAUAAUAGGUAAUUUUGUGACAUAGAGUAUAAAUGAAAAAAAUUGGUAAAUAAGUUUAUUGAACAUUAUAAGUAAAUAUUUAAAACUAAUGAUGGGUACAAAGAGUGGUAUAAAUUGAUAACUUAGUUUGCAAAAAUGAAUUUAAAUGAGUUUGCAAAAAGUUAAAAUAAAUGAGUUAUAAAUGGGUAAUUGGGUUACCCAAUUCAUUUUUUGACUUACCCAUUUAUACCCAUCUAAUUAAAUGGGUAAAAAUGAGUUGACUCACUUAUACCCAUUACCCAUUUUACCCAACCCAAACCCGCCCAAGUCACCCAUUUUGACACCUCUAACAUUUUGAAAUAAAUACGCAUAAAUCUAAUCAAUAAAAUUUAACUUGUGUCUGAAUAUGUACAUCUUAUAUUAACUUGCAUAUUUGAAAGAGCAAAAGGUACUAAUACGGGUAUUUUUCACAUAUGACUACCUAACUGAAGGAUCGGGGUUAAAUUGGGAAAAAGCAUAUAGAACACAACAAACAGCUAAUACGAUGAGGUAAUAGAAAGCUUUAGAUCGUUGAUUAAUAAAACAGUGAAUGAGUCUUCUAACAAAAUUGCUAGCAUGUCAAGUCAUUCUUUACCGACCAUAGGCCGAAUGGAAGAGUUGAAGAAAUUGGCAAAACCAACGACAAACUAGUCUUGAUAUUGCAAAAUCCUUUGGUUGUUGGUUAAAGUCUAGCAAGUCAGUGUCUGCAGUUUGUUUGUCACAGGUUGUUUUUUUUUUUUUUCCAGAUUUUUUAUGCGUGUUUGUUUGUUGUAUAAAAUAUCUGCAUUUUCCACCAUUAGAAGAAGUAACAUUAGAAGAGAGCCUGUUGCAUAGUGUCUCAUUGCCCUCGCCUUAUAGAAAUGGGUUCUACUGCAUAUGUUUUUGUGCAAAUAUGACCCCGAAUUUUUUUACGACCAAAUUAACGAUACUAGAUUGUUUUUAGGCGUCUCUAGCAAUUAAGUUUGUUGAUUGUGCCACAGAAUCACCCAUGAAUUUGCACAGUGUUUAUUCAUCCAGUUUUUUUUUUUUUUUUUUUUGGAAAGCAUAAUUUGUAUAGUCACUUUCAAACCUGGAGCCAUAUUCAUCUCCACACUAGAAACUUUUGCUUGUUUUUCGAUAUUUUAUCUUUAUGUUAUAUGAUUUGGAUAGCGAUUGCUUGACCCCCCAAGAAUAGGGAUCUUCCUCUUCCACCUCCUCAGUUGAUUUAAUUCAUAUGUAAAUGGAAUUCAAGUUGCUAUACUACUUAAUGAAAAUAAAUUGCACAUUUGGAUAAAGAAAAAUUUGACACCUCAAAGCCACAUACAAAACUUGUUUGGUCAACUAUUUGGAUAAAUGAAACCACUUAAAGUUCGAAAAUCUUUCAAACAACAUAGCAAAAUCAAGUUUGCAUAUGUAUAUAUUUCUAAGAAUACCAAUGUGUUUUUUUUUUUUUUGGCAAGAAUUUAUCAGCUGCUUCACUACGUACUAAUGAUAUUUAACAUCCUCAUCUUCACAGUUGAGCUAAACGACUAAUAUCCACGGGGUACGCAUCAGAUUGCUCUUCAGCUCUGUACGAUCUUCUUCCAACAAUAAUAUUUGCAGCUUCAGAUGGAUGAAAAGCAUCCCAAAACAAAUACUCAUCUCUAUUUGCACAUGGAGUUUGGAAAGGAAGACAAGUUAUUUGGCCAUUGUUUCUUCCAACACCACAGCACCCUGCAUUUGUCACCCUAAAACCUGCAUAUGGAAACAAAUAUCAAUGCACAAAUCAAGUUAAAUUCUGGUCGUUGACAAAAAUCAAACACAUCCCUAAUUAUAAUUUUAUGCCAGGCACAAUGCACAAUAUAAAUCUAUGUCACUUAUCACUCACAAUUCCUAGGGGCCCUUCUCCAAAUUUGGGCUUUAGCUCCCUGAUAAAAAUAGCAUUUUAACCCUACACAACUUGCAGUUUACAGCACAGAACUGCUCCCAUUUUUAUGAUGAAAUAAUGUUCUUGAUUACAAGAAAAAGAGAAUGUUAGAUAGCAAUGACGAAUGGCGCAAAGAAUGAUUACCAAAAGCUGAGGGGUUGUUAAUUAAAUCCUGGAAAAUGCCAAAAGCAUUGAUGUAGGCAAACUUUGCGUCACUUCGGUCGUUGUUGAAUUGGUCCACCAAUCCCCUGAGUCCAUUAUUGAAUAUUUGAUUUGCAGAGUUAAUCCUCUGGACACAAGCUGUACCAUCAGGGCUAUUUUGGGCCAAUGCAUUUGGACUACAUCCAAUCUGACCCACUCCGAUCAAGGCAAACUUCCUUGCUCCAUAAUCAUAAAGCGUCUGCACAGGUAAGAACCAAAAAAUUUGAGGCCCAAUUUAUAUGCUAAAACCAGGUACUGCUCUGAUCUUCUUCUUCUUCUGCUUCUUCAUUUUUUCUUUUUUCUUUUUUUUUUUUUAGCAUUUCAGAUUUAAACCAACAAUAAAAAAGGAGUAAGUAGAGAAGAAGGAAAAUGAGAAUACUCACCCUUAUUUGUUCAGUAUAUUGUUCUAUAAGGACCUGAGAAUAUUGUUCAGGUGAAAAUUGCCUACUACUUGAGUAGUAGAGAGGCAUGAAAUAGUUGUUAAGGUAGUCAUUGCUGCCAACUCCAAUUGAAUAUAUGCACUUGCUUAGGUAAUCUGCAGUAGAAUUUUCAUCUCCAAGAAUAUUUACUAUUUGCGAGACUGUAUUCUUGUAGUUGUUCACUUGUGCUGUAAAACUAAUCCUUGCACCCUAAAAUUUCACAAUGACCAAUGAAUUAGUAUACAUGUUCCCACUAUAUAUAUAUAUGUAUGUGAAAUGACGAUAGAAAACUUGUGAAAUCAUUAAAAAAAAAAAUUGGAAAAAGAUGCAAAUAGACCCUCAUACUUUUACUUAAUACAUUUCUAGCCCCUCGCAUUUGAAAUGAUGCACUUUGAUCUCACAUGUGAAAUCGUUGCAUUUUGGUCUCGAAGUCCAUUUUGAUUUUAUUCUAUUCCGAAAAGUGGACAGAAGUAUCAAAGUCCACUUUCUUUUUCUUUAUUUUUUGUCUUGGCCUAAAAAUUAGAAGGUCAUAUAAAAUCAUUAAUUUUUUUUUUUUUUUUGGGGGGGGGGGGGGGGUGAGUACGUCGGGAAAAAUGUAAUCCUUUUUAAGGUUUGAUAGCAAAGCCCUCUCUCGCAUCCUCAGAAUUUUCAAGCAAAACUAGACCAAAAAUGGACAUUAGGACGAGAAUGUCUCAUUUUAAGUACGAGUAAAGCAGAAAAAAAAUUAUAUAGCAACAAUGUGGGACUAUAUUUUGGUUUUGCUGAAACAAAAGUAGAGUUGAGUACCAGUUGUUGGCCAGUUUCUUCUCUAAUCCCAGCAGCUGCAGAUGCAUAAUUUACGCCCUUUAAUAUCUCUUGGCCACUAACUUCUGCAUAGGGUGGAAUAGGACCCUCGAACCCUAACAGCUCCGCUGAUAACAAAUCAUCAAAUUAGUGUACCAUUGACACAAAGUAUAGCAUUUGCAAUUGAUGCAAAAUUAUUGUUAAACAUCUAUACCAUAUGUUUUUUCUUUUUGUACAUUGAAGAAUAUUUUGAUUACUAAUUCAUAGAGGAUACUAAUUUGUACAUUUCGCCUGGCUUAGCAACAAUAAUGGGCAGAGUAGGACCCUUAGAAUAAAUGCGCAAAAAAAAAAAAAAUUUUUUGAAUAGAUUGUCAGAUAUGGAGCUUGUUAUUUGGACAAGAGUACUAUAUAGAAAGAGCAUUUCGAAGAAUGAAUUUGCUACAGUGGGCACCUAUUAUUUUUCUUGAACAAUCUUCUUGCUUCUUGUUGUUUGGUUCAAUUCCGUUUUAAGAUGGUCCCACUUGGAAAAGGUUGGUGUAAUAUUUUCUAUUUAAGGAUACCUAAUUUAAUGUCUUAGAACAAAACUAGGUGACUAUUAUUAUUAUACCCAAAACAAAGGGUGGCUAUUCAUAAUAAUACUUUCACAUCCAUCAACCUUGGGUUGUUUGCUAAUUGUAUCCGAUGUUUAAUUUAGAUCAUAGCCACUAAGGAAUUUAAUGAAAGUACUUUUAGAGCCCAAAAAACCCAAGUAGAAUCCGAGAUAUGAGCAAUAUAAUUAAUCAUGCUUUCACACUCUACCAAUUUUCUAUUUAUUCAAUUGACCUUGUUUGAAACGAAAUAACUUGCAUUGACUGACAAACUUUGUUGUAAAAAUGCAGCACAAGCUGAAAAAAGUUUACUAGUUUUUUUGUUAAUGUGUUUUGUUGUUUAGAUUAUAAUUUUUCCGAGUGGUAAUUGCACUACUGGACACUAUUUCUUGCUCAUACAUAAAAGUUUACUAAUAAACGUAAAUAAAAAUGCAGUAAAACCUACCCACAAAAUUAAAAAGAAAUGAGGUACGUAGUACAUUUUAUGGUAAAUUUACUUAGAGAAAAGGACUCAAAAGCCAAUUUAAAUGUAUGGUUCACUGUUCAUGCAACUAAAUAAAAGUAGAAGGGAAACUUGGUGAAAUAGAGGGUUCAUGAGAAGAGAUUCAUGGUGAAAAUGCAGACUUCAAAACAAACGCCUAUAAAGCUGACUCCUAAAAUUCGCGAGCAGAUAUCGGCAUGCAUGUUUAAAAGAGCAAAUGAUUCUGGCAUUCUUCGCAGAAUACCAACCUCAUCAUCUAGGUUUACAAGCAGACAACGAGAUAAAAAGAGCGGAAUUGAGAGAAAGGAAUGGAGAUCCAAACCUAUAACAUCAACAGUAGUUUUUCCAUUGGAAAACCUUCCACUUGGUCCACCAGGAUAAUCAACUCCAUAAGGCAAAUAAUUAGCUUUGGCUAGGGAGUUGAUAUUAUUGUUAUUGCCAUUGUCUACAAGUGAAUCACCAAAAAUGAAGUAGCAAGGAACUUGGGGUUCUCCGUAGACUCCAUUAUCAAGAUUUAGCACCAACAACAGACACCCCACCAAGAAUGUUUUCAGCUCACCACCCUUUAGGGCCAUUGCCAUGCCUGAUGCCCACUUCAAGAGAAAUAUCCCACCCAAAAAGGUGUCAAUGAAUUUUGCAGAAAUGAGUGAAGUAGCAGAAGGAGAAGAAACCUUUAGGUUAGUGGAGGUGUUGCUGAGUGAUGAAAUAUAGAAGGAUUGGAGGCAUUAUAUAUAGAAAAUUUUGAUCCAAUUAACAGAGAGAAUUGAGAGACGAUGAUUUAGCAAUUACUAAGUUUAUGGAUGGGAAGUCGGUAUGGUGCAUUAAAUACACGCGGGUAAGGUACUGUGAGUUUCCAGGUACCUUGUCUCACGCUGGUUCGUCUUUUCCCCCCUCUAUUGCAGUGUUUGGUAACCAAUUUGAAUUGGGUUUUUUUAGCUGGUGUUCUUGGUGGAUUUAAGUUGUUAUUUUAAAAAAAAAAAAAAAGAAGUUAAAUCGAGUAAGCGUUUUGUGUAAUAAGACACUGUAUAUGAAUUCAUGCAUACAUAUGGUACAUAUUUAAAUUUUGAAAUUUGAAUGAGAAAUUAAAUCGAGUUAAUGCGUGGGACACAGUAAAUAUGUUUAUAUAUAUAUAUAUAUAUAUAUAUAUAUAUAUAUGGUAAGAUAUGUGUAAAAAAAAAAGUACUAUUAAGGAAAAUCUUUGAAUAUAGGGUUUAUACUUCAUAUUUAAAGCGUUUACUUUCUAACUUUCUAUCUUUGCAAUUACGCAUUAAUGAUUUAGCAACAGUUUUUGAAUUUAUUGUUUACAAUUAGAAUUUACAACCAUCCUUUUUUUUUUCCUUUUAUAUAUUGGGAGGGAAAUUUUUUUCUAAAGCUGUCUGUCAGACACGUGUUGUCAGUUUCUACGUGUACUCUUUUUUUUUCUGACGAAAUAGGUAUCCAGAAUUCGACGGAUUAUAUUUCCGGACCCGACUAUUUCCACUCCGCUUGUGCCCCCACCCCCCAGAAGACACAAGACCAUAGGAGUGAUCGAACCGCGACUACGCGAUGCUAGGAUCUAAGGAGGCACCCAGCCGAGCCAACCCCGGGGGUUUCUACGCGUACUCAAUGAACGAAAUAAUCACAAUAGCAGUUCGAGACUAGCUCCAACUUUAUGAGAAUUAUUCUGCGCUUUGACUGGACGGUAUAGCUGGGGCAAAAGUCACCAUGAAAGUGUCCAAAAAUUAUAGUUAAUUUCCCAAAUAUAGAGUGUGUAACUUGAUUACAAGUUACAUAAUGACAGAACUUACCUUUUAUCUGGUAGAUUUCAGAACUUUCAAAAGUAAAAUUUUCAUCACAGUUGAGAAAAAAAAAAAAAAAAAGCGAGGAAUUUCCAAAUUUAUAUAGUAAAUAAUAGGAUGAAUCUUUCAUGCAGAAUAUAUUUUACAGACCUAAAUUCAUAUGCUACGAAAAGAUUAAUCCUAAUAAUAUGUGCUUUAUAAACCACUAUUCAUUGUGCAUAGGUUACGAAUCAUCCAUAAUAAUGUGCUUGCUUCAUGGUCUAAAACUCUAUUUGAACUUAUCAUUUAUAUCAAAAACUUAUACUACUAAGUGUGGAUUCGGGAUGCAGUUGAUUUGGAUUCAUCCCCUCCUAAAAGACAAAUCUAAACUCCCUUACGCGCAUAAGAGGCUAAACAUUAAUUGGCCAAUUCUGCGAAAUCUUCCUAGUUGCCACCAGCUGAUCCUCAAAAGCAUGGUUGAAUCAAUAAUAGUCUGCAUACAGUGGCCAGCAAACGAUUUGACCUUGUCUUCUUCAUCAUUAAUCCAUUACCCAAGUAAACGCCUAAACGGUCAAGUGGUCUUCAAGAUGUCCCGGAUUAACUUUUCAAAGUCAAUACCUUACUAAUGUCGCAUUCAAAUUCUUAAUUGCAAAUAGAUGCCCAUCGUUACAAUGGUUUUCGUGAUUUUGCAAUGGAAAUUAUGGAUAAGAGUUUAUUUGGAUGAUUUAUUUGAGAUAUUUACUGUAGCAUUUUUUGUGAUGUGAUGUGUGUGAGAUAAAAAGGUGAUUAGGAAGAUAAAAAGGUGAUUGGGAUUUGUGAGGCAAAAUUUUUUUUCCCAAAUUCUCUCUAUCCAAACAAACUCAUGAGUUCGCAUUUUGCUCGGAUAGUCAUUUACUAGUCGGUGCAAAAUGCUGGCCAGUGAUCGGGGGAGGGCUUUUAGAUUUUUUUUUUUUUUUUUUUUUGGUCGGUAUCAUAUUCAAAUUUACCUGAUAAUUGGGGGUGGGAAGGUCGAGGUGAGAGGUAACACUAUCUAGUUCUUACAUUUCUUUCAGGGAAAUGGAAGGGUACAAUCUAGGAUCUACGGUUUUAUAGUAUUCAUUGAGUUGGAGUUGGGAGAUAAUUGUACAAUUUUGCUAAAUUUGGUCGGAGGUUUCGGAGACAACAACGUUCAUAACACAAGUUGCUAAUUCUGCUUUGUAGUAAAUUUGCGGAAGCUAUCCCAACCACUUAACGUCUGAGGAUGGGCGGUGAGACAAGAACUGGGACAAAUUAUUGACAAAGUCAAACAAGAAACGCUGGACCAAGCAAACUGCAAAAGUAUCCAUUCCUACCAAUUACCAAUGAGGCAAUCACAGCCGCCACGCGCUCCAGUAAUAAAUUCAAGUUACGAGUAUUAAUAGUUACACAUGAUUUUGCUGCCGACGACCCAUGCUCCACAAUAUACAUGGGAGUAUAAAUUAUUUCGUCGAGAAAAUAUUUUUCCCACCCAUCAAUCGAGAAAACUAUUUUUGUGGUUAAAAGCAAAGUGAAAAAAUUUUCCAGCCCAUCAAUUGAGAAAACUAUGAAUCAGCACAUAGGAUGUUCAUAAUUAUAUAUAUUCUCGCGAUCGAUCGCCUAUUGUCUUUUUCCAUUACAAAAAAAAAAAAAAAAAAAAAUCUCCUGUUCUAUCUUAUUGCCAACUUGAAAAUUCAGAAGCCUUGUUGAUUUUUUCUUUUUUAUUUUUAUUUUGGUGGAGAGAGCACCGACACAAGAUCUUUGCUCUUUUGCCUUCGUUACCAUACUGACAAUUUAUCCUUGUUUAAAGUAAAUUUUACUGUCAAUUUAUCUUGUUUAGCAUCAAGAAGUAAGCAGCAUUCGACUAGCACAAACACAAUGGUAAAUCACUUUUAUAUUAAUGACACGAACAAUCCACAUGGCUACAACAGACUCAUUUACUUCUUCAAAUCGGCCAACGCCAAAGCCUUCACAAGUUUUCCUCCUACUGCAUUAAACUCCAUGCAACGCGGCUAUUGGACAAGAAAGAUAUUCAUACAUAUGCAUAACCUUUAUACAUGGCAGCACCAAAUUUAACGAACCUCUGAACCAGCCCCACCACCUCCCUUAAAUUCCUAUAAUAUUCCCGUAAAAUUUUGAUAUAAUUUCAACUAUGCCGCUCGAAAUUUUAAGAAAGUGAAAAAAUUAUGUGAUUUUCUAAAUUAGUUCAUGAAUUAAUAUUUUAAAAGGAUAUCUGGAUCACAAAAUUUCAUUUGAAAUAAACUACAAAAGACUUUUCAUUUUAACUAAUUGAUGAAUAUUUUUUUUGCUUCAAAAAUUAGAAAAAGAGCCAAUAAAACAUUUUGAUAUUAUUACUUUUACCCCCACUGAAAAUUUUUUCUGGCUCUGCUCCGAACCACAAAACCCAUGUCAAGAUUUUGGCAGCUAUAAUUCAUAAACUUCACCAAAUUAUACGCUCUGGAGAGUCAAAUCAGCAGAUUUGGAGCAUUUAUAGUACAAAGAGAUGCCAACUUAAGAACAUUAUUACUACUUGGCAGAUAUGGAGAAUAUGACAGAUGAUAAGAUGAUUGACUAUUGUAGCAUUUAUUGGGCAUGUGAUUGUGGAUUUUCUGAAGCUGGUGCAAUUAAUUUCUAGCAGAGUAGUUGAGCAACAUUAGAAAGAGAUGCUGAACUGGUCAAAACUCCAAGAAAGGGCAACAAGCUUGAUCUACAACAAUUAGGGCUGCAAUGGUUGCCGUAUCUCUUUCACUUGCACCGAUGGAUGCUUUACCCUUUUUUCUGCUGGGGGACAAAACUGUCAAAAAAUAACAAUAAUCUUGUGCAUAGGUCCCUCAUACACGUUCAGUUCUUCCAGAUUCCGGGCCACUUUAGCGUGCUAUGAGGAGCAGGGAAACACCAUUUGUUGCUGAUAAAAACGCGCGCAAUAACUCGAGAAGGUUUUCAUCUUCAAAAUACAUCAUGCAUGAGUGGAAUCCAACUUUGCAUACACUGGAUGCAGACACAGAAAUGAAAUCAGAAGGCCUUUUCCUCGUCUCCUCUUGAAGUUGAAAAAAGAAUAAUACAUCUAAGCAUAAAAUCAAACGAAGUUACUGCAGAAUUUAAGCUACUUGAUCAGCAGAAUACCAACUUUAACUUCUAUUUAACAGAAAGUAGUCAGACGAAAGGGAAAUAUUGCAGCUACUAGUUUUGUUUAAGCCCCAACAUUCAGCAGCAUUAGCUAAUAUACGAUUCAUGUCUCGAUAAGAUAAGCCACCAGCUUUGACGGACAGACAAGUUAAUUAAUUAAUAACCAAAAAGAUUGAUCACAGAAUAAGCCAAGCCUUUCCUGGAACUCAAAAUGAAUCCAAUCCCUGCUGAGUGUAAGGAGCCCUCGCACAAGCGUGAAUUGUGGUAAGCAAUGCUUCAUGAGCAAACACUGUCAAGAAGGAAAUACAGAUUGCAUAUCGCAGCAUGGUGAUUAAGCAUUCCUAAUCGUUUACAGUAAUCACAACAACAUCUGAAAUUCUAAGUUGUGAAUGUAAAUGUACCUAUCCUUGACUUGAGCUCUUAUCUUGGAAAAAAGAUAGUCAACAGGUAGAAUUGAUAAUACAAUAGGAGUUGAACUCUUACAAUUUCAAAUGAGGAUGUAAAUUUAAAAAAAAAACACACACACACAUAUUCGGCUCUUUCAGUUUUUUGGAGCUGCUUUAGCAUGUAGCAGGGAGCAGCGUAACAUCAAUUACUUGUUGCUGAUCAAGACAUUCGUAAUACUCCAGUUAAUGAACUUAAGAAAGGUUUGCAUAUUCAAUAUACAUCAUCCAAGAACGGAAGACAACUUCAAACAAAGUUCUGCCAAUAGAAGCUAUGUGUGAUGCAGAAAAUUUCAGCCCAUGGAAUUGGAAUCAAAAAGACCUUCUGUCUCCUCUUGGAAGUGUUGAACAUAAUUCACAAGAGGUUAGAAUCAAAGUUCAGGCAAAACUUAAUUUGCUUCAUCAGAAAAUAGAACUUCAACUUCUAUAUCUAUAAGAAAAUAGUCAGCCAAAAGGAAAAUCUAGCAGCAAGUGGGGCUAUUUUGAAUGACUAGCAGGACCUUCUUUAUGCCACUUGAGCCAAGUAUAAUUACAGCAUUUAGCAGCAUUAGGUAAUAAAGUUUGGUGACAUAUAGACAGCAGCUCAAAAUCAUUUCUUUAUUGUUAUUUAGAAUGCUUGCAGUGCUUUGCCGGAAAAGAUGCAUCAGCUACUUAUGAGCUCAAAGUCUAUCCAGAUAUUAAUUUAGUAAACAGGGGUCACGUAGAAAAAGAUGAUAGUCUAGGGACUGAAUUAUCAAAUUGAAGUUCAAGAUGAAAAGUAUUGCAAGUAUAAUAAUGCGAGGAUGCAAAAUGGAAUCAGUCUUUUCUAAUUCAAUUUUCUUUUCUCAUUUUACUCUCAGAUUUGCACUCUGGAAGUUCUCAUUCAGCCCUAGUCAUGUAUAAAAUUAACUUAAAAAUAGAAAGAAUACAUGGAUAGAAAAUCAUGAAACUUUCAAAGCAUGAAACUUUUCACAUCUCUAUGAUUCUUAAUGUAACAUGACCAGAGUCUAAGGUUGAAGGUGAGGGCCUUUAGCUAUGAGGAACCAGUUUGUAGGACAACUCCAGUCAAUGUGAAUAUGUAAUCUGUCCAAAUUUGUUGAUACUACAUUUAAAAGAACAAUAAGAUAGAUGGCAUUUAGAAUCCUAUAAGAAAAUCAUGAUUGAACUUUUUUUGAAAAGAAAGAAGUUACACAUAUUACUAUACUGGAAACAGGUUCUCAGACCAAUAUUAUAGCACAGACAUCUUAUUAAGAGAAAGCUGUAAUUUCAGAGAUGCAUCACAUAAUGUUAAGUUUCAAAUACACACAACCCAUAGCAAAUCAAGAGCAAAAUUGCAACUGACUUCCACUUACAAGAAACAAGCAGGAUGUGAUAUGAUUCUCAUGCGAAAAAAAGCGCACAUACACAAAGAAACCCAAAAGAGAGGAGCUUAUAUCCAUAUAAAAUGGUAGCAGACCAAAAGAUGCAUAUCACUGACCAAUAUGACACAAACUGAUACAAUCAUUAUGUGAAAUUCAUCAAACUAGCUCAGCAGGUAAACUACAUUAAAGUACGCCAGGCAUUUUUUCUGAGUCAUUAUAUUCAGGAUACAGACUCUUUAGGCUAUUGUUUACCAUAUUGGAGGGACAAUGAUCUGUUUGUGAAAGAUAAGGUUUAAAUCCUUUUUCAUCAGAAGACCUCACAUUAUUGCAUAUCUUAAUGUCGUUUAACAUAUCUUGACACCCAUAACACUCCUAACAUAAUAUUCUAGCAAAGCAAAACCUAUUGGUCAUAAAAACAGCAUGAUAAUCAUCCAAUUCUGCAUCUGUAAUAAUUUAGUUGCUAUUUGUUUCUUAAUGCAAUUUAUAAGCAUUUGAGAAAUAGAUACAUUCUCUUUGCAAUCUCUUAACAAGAUAUUCUCGAUGAAAAUGGAUCUGACAUAUGAUACCAAUAUCCAACACUUUGAAUUGAAAUCUUAAAUUAUGAUUAGCUGAGAGAAUUCAGACUAUGCACUGCACGUCACUGUACCAAAUUAUCGACCUCUGUCAAUCUCCCCACCCUUUGAAACAAGACAUACAGACAGAAGGCCAUAUUACCCAGCAACUAAGUCUUUAUCAAUGUCCCAGACGAAACAAGAGGAAAAGAAUAGUCCAAUAUGUUCCUUUAUCAUUUCUACACGAACAGAAUAAAUUGAAGAGAUAAGAAAACACAAGUUUGCAAUUGUCACAGUGAAUUCUGAGAUUCAGUCCAUUAGAAGAUUAAUAUCCCCCAAUGCUAAACGAGAAAGGUGCCCAACCCAUAUUGUUUCUCAUCAUAGCUUAUCCCUACCUAUACAUUAACUUUUAGAAGAUAAAUUUACUGACUAGAUUAAGAUAAUUUAGGCAAGUCGAAGGUAAAAACAAACUUAGUUAAAAUGACUGACUGAGGCUAGCAAAAGAAAGGGUUAGACUAAACAUUAUUAGGAAUGGUUUAACUAAAACAGAUUCAAGAUUUAUAACUAUACAGGAAGUAUUACACUAAAUAGAGCCAAAUGGAAGAACUGAACUCAUCUAGAAGAAAGAUUAAAGCUUGAAAGAUUACUGUGGUGGAACUCGAUUUGGGUUAAUUUAACAUGAUAUUGUUCAUGUUCUCACCGCUUAGAUCACCAUUCACUAGGUACCUAAGUAACAAAUUCAAGCAACAAUACAGAACAUAAGGCAUGCAGUUUCCAGUUAGCAAGGUUUUCAUUGAAAUGCCUCCCUAGAAAGCCAGUUUCACACAACCUAGAGCCAUUCGGCUUUCUGUACCAUUUAAUCUUUCACUUGACAAGCAAAUUGGAACAAAGGAAAAUUUAACCUCUCUAUAGUGAAAAAGUGAAAGUAACAUAACUCCAAGUUUACCCUCGGUGAUAAGAAGACUACUUACAAAACUAGGCAAACACAAAGAGGUUGUCUAUGCCACAUGAUUUGUGGCUUUUUGUUCCACUUCUACAAUUAGUUCAGAAUUCUGCUUUUUACCUUAUCUCCUUGAGCCAUUCUGACAUCAUUGGAUGCAGAAAUGUGUUUUUCCCAUUUAUUGUACCAGUUCAGUAAGGAAUUUCCAAAUUGUCCUUCGCCUUUCUUGUUUGUGAAAAGUUGGAGCUUUCUUCCUUUGCUAUUUUCUGAAAGUUGCCCACUGUACUAAUUUCAUCCUAUAAGCAAGAGUAUACUCCAUCCCCUGCCUUGGGAAGCUAUUGGCACAGUUUAAAAGCUCCAAGUAAGAGAUACACCUAUUGCAUAAAUGGUUUCUGUGAUUGAGCUCUAUGGAAGCCAUCUUUAGCUGCACACAUCCCAGAUUAAUACUUAUUUCUAGAAAUCUACAAUUCCCUCCGAAAUGUUAUGUGACUAUUUCAUGAAAUAGGAUAAGGAGUUGCAUACUUCCAAUAUAUCAUUCCUAGAAGACAAACCUUCCUUCAGAGUGGAUGAUGCCAGUAAAAUUGCUGCCCUUAAAUUCGGCAUAAACAUUUCAGAAGAACUCAGAACUUCAAAUUUGAUCAAAACCAUGAGUGAAGUGCCCCAAAUAUCAGAUGCAAAACUUAUAGUCAUGUUCCAUGAAGCUCCAAAAUUGGAUUCCCUUUUUUGCUCCCUUAUGUUUUUCAUAAACUUAACAACUUCUGCUUGAAUGAUAAGGGCAAGAAUAUAAAGAAACUGAUUCAUUAGGGCACGUAAAUCGACUUGAUCAACGUUAUCUACUCCAUGAAACAGCUUGGAAUUUAUACUCAUAAUCUGCUGAUAACAUUCUCAUAACUGUGAAAAUACAAAAGCUCAAGCAUAAUCUUAAAAUUCAAGUAGAUCAUUUCAUUUACUCCAAGCUUUUUUGUAGAGGUCUUAAUAACAACCAAAACUGCUUUUUGAUAACAUUUUGAAGUGACUACAGGAUAGACAUACACAAGCAAAAGGCGUCUUCAAACCCUGAAUUGUUCUCCCAUAAACUCACAAACAUGAGAUGAUCACAAGUCAGUUCUGCUAAAUGUCGAGGCAGUGUACUGUGCAGCCAUGUCCUUCAGAACUUGGAUCAAGCCCUUCAAGUCAUUCGUACCUAACUCAAGACAGUCCCUUAACAAGUCACCCUCCACCACCUCUUUCUGCAUUGUCUCAACAACUUCCCUAAAGGGUCCCUGCGCCAUACCCAUUAAAAACCUUUAAAAAAAUCAUCUUUACACGGAAAAACAGUGCUUUAUUUUAUAUUUCUAAUCACUUCCAUCUGUAAGCUGCUUACCAUGUUCCAGAAACUUGUACUUAAACUAGAAAAUAAUAAAAGAAAGAGAACUUCAUCCAAAAAUAAAUUCACUGAACUUAUUCAUUCAACUUGAUAUUUAAACAAUCAAUUAUUCCCAUAAUCACUGCAAUGAAACAUCUUUUAACACUAAGCACUAAUUCUGUUAAUUUUUGUCUAUUUUACAAACUUUACAAGCUCGAUUUUAAUGCUUUUCUUUGAACAUAUGGCUAUUUUCUACAAUACUUUAGCUCAUUCAUCAACUAAAAUCUUUCAAAACUUAGCUGAAGAGACCUUACCAUGUCACAUAAUAGCCAUACAAGAAAGUUUAACGAAAAUGGCACGCUUUAAUCUCUAAUUCAUAAAAAGAGCAUAAUUUUGGGCUCAUUGUUAUAAAAUAGUAAUUUGUACUCACUUUUCUACAAAAUUUACACUCUUUAUUUACAUUUAGCAAUUUGUAGACAUGUCCAUAAUUAUGCUUUUUUAACUAAGCAUCGCAUCCCCCCCUCCCCAAAAAAAACACACAUAUCAAUGCCAGGAGAAAAUUUUUAUUAGGUUUAAAUUGCAGAGGUUGGGGAAAUAAUAACUCAAAAAAAUAGAGAAAAAAAGCAUUACCGAUUGUCGAAAUAUUUUGAGGAGUUUAUCAAACAGCGACCUGGAAACGGUGAAGACUCUAUUAUAGUUUCGGCCGACCCAGGCGACUCGCUCGGAAUCAGAGCCGACUCGGGACAACUCGUUGAGCUCCCUGAGCAACUCGUUAAGGUCGGAAACGGCAAAGGAGAGGUCAGUUAUUGAGACCGUAUUGAUAUCCCGCCAGGCGUAAUUUUUAAGAUAGUCCGAACCGAGGUUCCAAGUGAAUUUCCAGAGGCCUAGUCCCUGAACUGACUCGAUUUUGUGCGCUAUAGUUCGGGCACGGGCUGAGCCCGUGAGGUCGCCUCGUGAGGCACGGAGGUUGGCAACUCGCACAGCGAGCGAGUGGGAUAGGGAAAGUAGAGUGCCGUAGUUGGAGAGAGGGAAGGAGAGGGAAAAAGUGGGUGAUGGUGCGAAGAGGAGGAAGAAGAAGAGGAGGAAAGAGAAGAGUUUGUUUUUCACGAGAGAAGUAAGCAUUGACUGAGAGAGAAGAGCAGCGCCGCUUUCCACGGUGGCGGUGCUGGAGGACCGGCGGUGGUUCGGAUCUUGGAGAAUGGCGGGGAACAUAGGCUCCGUGUAAUUAUAUCACAGGGUUAAUCACAUUUUAUCCCCUUAAAGAAUAUUUCAUUUCUCAGUUUACUCCCUAACCUUUAAUUUUGCUCACUUAACCAUCUGUAGGACAAAAUUACCAUUGCAUUAUUUUGACUUUUCAUUUACCUUGUUUUCCUUUCUUUUAUUUCUUUUUCUCUUUCUUCUUUAUUUAAUUCUUCCUCUUUCCCACAAAAAUCUUUAUCUUAAUGAUUGAAAUUAAAAAAAAUAAAUUACAGAGAUCUAUCUUCUCCUUAAAUGAUUAAAAAAAAUAUUCAAAUCACUUUCCUAAAAUACAAUUUUUUUAGCCUUUCAAUUCUUUUAAUUUUAAAUUUCUCUCUUUCAUUUCUAGUUUCUCAUUUUAUUUCCAAGAAAAUAUUUUAAGAUGAAAUUAUAAAAGUAUCUUAUUUUCCAUUUUGUGAUGUCUCAAAAUAUUUAUCUUAUUAAGAAAAUCAAGAUAUCUUUUAAUCUCUUUUUCUAAUAUAGUCUUUCUCUAUAAUCAUAUACGUGUUACUAUUCAAAUUCAAAUUUUGAAUUUGUAUGGAUAAAAUUGGAAAGAAAAAUACAAAUAUCACAAUCAAAUCACUAUUUUUUAAAAGUUGAAUUCCCAAAAUAUGAUUAAAUAAUUGGAACGAAGGAAGUAAUAAAUAAGACAUGCUCUAAUUAGAACAUGGGCUCCGUGAAUAACUAGAGCAUUAAUUAACUAUUAGUAAAUAAUCAACAAAAUAACUGUUGAGAAUUUCUUUAAUGGUGAACAGCGACAUAUAAUUAUAAAAUAACGCCAAUUGAUAUAUCAAAUGGCGCUAUUUUGUGAUCGAUAAAACUUGAUAAUGACAAGAAAUUAGUUGUAUACAAUAUCAGAAGAAAGCUUUGGUAGAAUUCAUGUGGAAAUUGUCUUUGAAACACUUGAAACUGUAGUAGUUGUAAAGAAAUUUUGCAAAAAUAAAGAAUAAAUGAGGGAAAAGAAAAGCAAAUUUUGAAUUUUUUUAAUUCAAAAUCACAAAAAUUGUAGCAAAACUUAUAUUAAGAGAGAUGACUGAAUUUGGCGAUCAUUAGUGUAGUUUUGUUGCUUAUUUAUGUUGUCUAAUGCAUUAAAUGUGAACUUUUUGAAUAGGGUAAUAUAUGUGUUAAUUGUUUCUAACUUUUAAUUACUUUCAUCCUUUUACUAAUAUAACUUAUAUAUAUGCAUAAGAAUCAUUUAUGAAAUAAAAGUUUCAUUUUUUCGCCAUAAAGUACAUAUUUAUUUUUACUUUUUUUGACUUAGACUAAUGUUGUUACCAAAACCCUAAUUUCAGAGGAGGUUUGUGUAAUUUUGCAAACUUUAGGGGAAGGUUAGUGAAAUUGUCAGAAAUCUCAGGGAAGGUUUCUAAAAUUAUCUCUUAAUAUUUUUUGUCAUGAUAAUUGGUACAAAACUUUUCAAGAAAAGAAAAAAAAAUUAAAGGCAAAUAAAUGAAAGAUUGAAUGUAGAUGGUGAUGAAACUUUGAAAAUAAAUAGUUUUAGUUGAAAUAGUUCUUUCUUUGAAUCUAUAGUAUUGCAUUCAACAUCUUGAAUAUUAAUUUUGUUAUUUAAAAGUUAAAAUUGAAUGAUAUUUAUGUAAUUUUUAACUAUAUAUUUUCAAAAUAUUUUUAUUUUAGUUAUUAUUCACUAUAUGUUCAGAAACAUAUCCACAUAUAUCUAUUAGAUAUUUAGACUCAUGAACGUCUAGGUCUGGAUCUACUUUUUUAAAUUCCAUAAGUGUUUGAGUUUGGAUUUGGAUACUUACAUCCUAGUUAUAUUUAUUUGGAAACUGGGGACUAGGAAGGAGCAUGAAGUUAUGUUUACGAGACUGAAGGGCCUAACUCUUGACUUUGUACAUUGAUGGAGAAUUUGGUUAUCAUCUCAUCAAAUUAUUAAUGACUCAAUUUAAUUAGAUUCACGUCACCGUAAUAACUUUUCUGAUUCUGUAGUUAAUAGUUACUCCACCGACUAGUGGAGUAAUAAAGAAUUUUACGAGUUACACUCGCCCUCAUUUAGUGCUGUAUCGAAACUAGCAUGAGAAUUUAUUCAUUCACCUGCAGACUUGUUUAGACUUCAAAACGUUUGAAGGCCUAGAAAGUAAAGCAGCAAAAAAGUAAAGCAGCAUGCAUAGGACAGCAGACCAUAACAUUUUCAAGCAAGGGGCUCGAACUCCAAAGGGACAAUUCCAGGAAAUGGCCAGGGUCCGUCGGUUAAGUGCCAGUCUCAUUCCCUUUCAUAACUCACAGUUUUUUGUAUGAGUGUUUCGAUAAAUGGACUCUGCGAAGACACUUCAAAAGCCGGCAACUUUUGAAGUGCUCCGCAGCACUUAACUACUAAACCCCCCAAACCCCCCCAAGCGAUGUGGGAACUUAACCCCACAGGGUGCCCCGCUGCUAAGAGAAGUCUCAUUCAUUCGUUCAUCAUUCAAUUGUUCCUGUGAUUUGGAGUAAAGGCAAGGCAGAAAAAGUGGCAGGGGUAAAGAUGAGAUGACAUUGACAGCAACAGUACACUCUCUGUUUUUCGGAUUUGGGGUAGGGACGGUCAUACUGCACGGUUAAGGGCCAAGAUUGGCCCUCAAAAUUUUGUGCGACUGAGAUUACACCAUGUAACUCGAUUUCCGCGCCAAGUGUGGGAUCCACCACUAUCUGUUGUGAAAAUACAUCUUGUGAAAAAAAAGUUACACGAUGUACAAAGAAAGUUACGGCCAGUUGAUAAUAACUACAAUUGGCAGGGACGGUUGCACCUGCAACCGUCCGUGCCCCGAGUCCCUGUUUUUCCAUUCCUGCCACUUCCGGAGACUCUGCUAGGACUGUCGAUGGGUUGGGCGAGUCCGAAUUCGGCUCGUUCGAUCCGGCAAAAAAUUUAAAUUUAAAAAUUAAAUUUGAAUUAAAUAUAAAUUGGGUUUGGGAUUUAUUAGGCUCAAAUUUGAUAUAGGUUCGGUCCUUUAAAUAUUUAUAUUUUGAUAUUAUAUAUAAUUAUAUAUUCAAAUAUAUUAUUACUAAAUACUAAAUAUAUAUAAAUUACAAAAUACAUUUAAAAAUUCUUUUAUGAGCUUUCUUGAGAACUAAUAUUAGUAAUUCAUAACUGAAUAUCUAACUUUUCUUAUUGGUUGAGUAAAUUUUUAUGUUGGCAUAAUAUUGGUUGAUUUUUUUUUGUCUACAAACACAAAUCAUCAAAUAUGUUUGGAUUUAAAUCACAUGGUUAUAAAAAAAAAAAAGUUCAACUUUUAAAGAUAUAUUGGAUAAUAAUCACAUGUUUUAUUAUUAUUUUUCAUGCAUUUUGAACGAAUUAAAUAUAAAUAUUGUUGAAAACUUUCUGGUUUAUAUACCUUUUAAGAACUAUUAUUUGUUCAUGUUUAGUUUUAAUAUUUGUAAAUGUUAAAUUAGUUUUACAACUUGAUAGUUAUAAUAGGUAUAUUAAGAAAAUUAAGGAGCAAUAUGUGAAAUUGGACUAAACUCGAUUAACGCUCACAACUCGAACAUUAUGUGAGUUGAGUAUGAACUUCAUAUUUAUGAACAUGAAACUCAUAGAUCGAAACCCGAAAAUGCUCCAAAUUAAAUGAAUUGAAUUUAAACUUAUGAAAGUCCGGCUCAUUGGACCGGAUUGAGAGACCUAGACUCUGCACUCCCAUGCGCUCCUUUAUCAGUACCACAUGCAUAUGCGCUUUUCCUUUUAUUCCUUUUAGGUUCCUUGGUCUUCGUUGAUACUUUUUCUCUUUUCUCUUUUUGCCUUUGUUUUUUGUCAGUACAAUUUGUUUUCGUGUUCAUGAAGCAAGAGUAUGAACUUAGAAUGCUGUGAAUACAAGUUAAUUCAAUUAAUAAAAUGAUUCAUUUCUUUAUAUAAGAGUCAUAUGUUCAAAUCAUGUUAUCGAUAUAAAAAUCGUAUUGAAAGUGAUUUAUAUAAAUCUCUACAAGCGGUCUAUAGUAACUAAUGUUACAUCUACCUAAAUUUUUUUUAUCAAAAAAAAAAAGAAUAUGAAAUGUCCAAAACAGCAAGGGCCAGUACCUAGAGAAAUCUUAAACAGCUGCCCUUGCUUUUACUCAUAAAGGCAUCCUUUUACACGGUGAAGUUGUCUAUUCUCCAUUUCCUUUCUAACGGAGCAAGUAUAAAAUUUUCUAACCUUGCCUUUGAACUGGUGGCCAUCACCUAGCUUGGUGGGGUGCCUCCCACCAAAAUAUCACAUUUAAAUAAUUUGCUUCAAAAAAAUUCAGACGGGUGUGUCAUGCACCCGUUUAAUCCGAUGAUAGUUCAAUCCUCUCCGAAUUAUCCCUGGACCUCCUUAGACCCGUCCUCUCCCCUUAAUGUAGUAUAGAUUAGAUUAUACAACUGUUGUCGUCUCCGAAAAAAUAUAUAUAUAAAAUUUUCUAGCUGGCUACCGGGCUGACAUUCAACAAAAAAAAAAAUUCCAAGCAGGCUGCUGGGCUGUCAAAAAAAUUUGUUAAUAUUUGUUAUGUGAUGUUAACAACAACGAUAAGAAGCCUGCUCUUAUAUUAAAGGUUGGCCGACUUGACUACUUACCAUCAAACAUUGACAAAGCACAGCAAUCAGCUCAGUUGAUCGACCAAGGAGGAAAAGACACACAGCGCAACGACAUUUUCAUCCUAAAAUGAUCGAAUACAUAGACAGGCCCAAGGUCGAACACUUCAAAUAUCAAGGAUCAUCAUAAGGUAGAGCAUCCAUCCCUUGUAGUACAAGUUAUAUAUGACAUGACAACAUUAUACAUACGUAUUUAGCAUCAUAAGGUAGAGGGACUGUUCAAACUACCAUGCAGACAUCUUUGAUUCGCAAGAUACAUUCAGCAUUGCAACUGACAGUGGCAAGUCAACAACUUUGAUGCUUAAAGGGGAACUUCCUAGUAAAGUCAGUUGAGACU
RNAcentral lists this long non-coding RNA (69800 nucleotides) under Coffea arabica (coffee). RNAcentral's name for it is "long non-coding RNA (CARA_LNC001016)". The record is from RNAcentral. Lineage: Eukaryota; Viridiplantae; Streptophyta; Magnoliopsida; Gentianales; Rubiaceae.